RNAcentral lists this long non-coding RNA (83429 nucleotides) under Gossypium raimondii (Peruvian cotton). RNAcentral's name for it is "long non-coding RNA (GRAI_LNC003407)". The record is from RNAcentral. Lineage: Eukaryota; Viridiplantae; Streptophyta; Magnoliopsida; Malvales; Malvaceae.
AGCUACUCUUGCCUGCUAAUAUAGAUAUUCUGCCUUUAAAUAUUGGACUUCAUCGUGACCCUCACUUUUGGGGAAAUGAUGUGCAUCAUUUUAAACCUAAGAGAUUCGCUGAAGGGAUUGCCAAAGCUACCAAUUACACCGCGGCUGCCUUUUUCCCCUUCGGAUUAGGACCUCGAUCUUGUGUUAGUAUGACAUUUGCAAUGAUAGAAACCAAGAUUGCUCUCUCCAUGAUUCUACAACGCUACACCAUUAUCCUUUCCCCUGCUUAUGUCCACUCUUCAAUACUUAUUCUCAACUUUCAACCCCAAAAUGGAAUUCAAGUAAUACUUGAGCCGAAUACAUAGUAAUGCUUGAAGUACAUAGCCGUUAAGAACUAGAGGUUUAACAUGGUUCAUGUAUUUUACUUUUAAGAGAUGAUAUUUAAUAUGUUUAAAGGUUCUAGCAUUCAUCAUUAAAGACAAACGACUUGUGGCCAUGUUUACUUUUUAUCUAUCAUGCAAUGUCGAUAAGAAGAUAUCAUUUACCUUUUAGUUGGGUUAUGAAUUCUACUAUUGUGAAUGAUGUUACAUACUAUACAAGUUCUAUACCCAAUGCACCAACUUUCGGUUCUUUAUCUAUUUGAACUUAGCCUUUUACUUGCAUCAAAGUAUACGAGUCAUGCUUGUAUAGUCCACCAUCCACUCAAGAUUAAGGUAUAUCACACAAUGAACAUCACAAGUAAAUAGAUCCAUAAAUGGAUCUAGAAUCUAUUCUACUUGGGUCUUUUCUGAUGUAUUGUCAGUCCAGUCAAUCACAUCUAUGUCUUUAUCUUUUAGGAGUUAUCUGUUCCAUUUAAGACAAAGCAUCUCCACAAUUGGGUUUGAUAGACGACAUCUUAGUUUUUCAAUCGAUUUGCUCAAUUUUGAUUAGACUAAGGACAUAUUUAGGUUUAUAUACUAAUACAAGCUAUCUUUCCAUAUCAAGAUCUGACCACGUAAUACCGCUUAGUAUUAAUUUAAACAAUAGAUAACCAAUGAGCCAAUAUUUGCUUCCAUUUUGCUUUGUGUGCAAAAACAUUGAGGACAAUAUGCAAAGGGUAUUAAUGUAAUUAAUAGAUAUUAUUAAACCAAUUUGUUUGAAAAAUACAAUUAUAUAAAACGAAUAUAGUACACUUAGUGUACCAAAUCCAACAAUGGCCACUACAGCUAGCAUUGCCAUAAGCAACAUAACUUGACAUUUUUGGAGUUGAAAUCUUUUUAACAAAAUCAGUUGGGCAACGACUUAGAUGAUUUUGUGGACAUGUGUUGGCUCAUAUUUGAAGAUCCAUUUUGUGGAGCAAUCAAUCUGUUAAGAUUAAAUCAAUCUGAAUCAAGCAAAUCGGAUCACUUAUUUUGUGGAGAUUGGCUUGACUUAUUUUAAAAUUUAUUUUCGAAAUCUUUGAUUUAUUCUUAACUUUCAGGAUAUUUGUAAAAUUUGAUAACACUCUAGAAUAACGUAUUUUUAUGUAUUAAUUAUGUAUUUAUUUUGAAUAUGAUCCUGCUAAUUUGAGCUAUUUAUGAUAUUUUAUCUCAUAGGGACUAAAUUUGAGACAAAAGCAAAAUUAAGGGCCAAAAGUGUGAAUUUAGAGAUAAAAUGGGCCAAUGUGCGACACAAAUAAAAGUUGGUGCCAAAAGUGCAAGCAUGGAGGACACAAGGGUUGAAAUGCAAAAAAAAGAGAUUUUAUUCUAUCAAACUCUAUUUUAAUUAUAUUAGGAUAAUUAAUAUUAAGAUAAUUAUUAAGGAUUAUCUAAUUUUAGGAUUUUAUUUUAUUUAUCUUCAAUUAAAUGUAUUUAUCUUUUGGAGUUUAAGUAGGAUUAGACUAUCUCCCCUAGCACUAUAAAUAGGGGUAAAGUAACUCAAAAAUGAUGUAAACACUCUCUCCCCCAAAAGUCUAGGCUUUUGUUCUCCUCAUAUUUCCUUUCAAUAAAAUCUCUAUUUUUAUUUUAUUUAUUUUCUUUUUCACCACAACCAUGAGCCACUAAACUCAUCUAGCUGAAAGUUGUCGAUAUUUUCCAAAAAGGGUUCUCGAGGCCUAGAGUCCGUACUUAGCCUCCUCGCUGAGUAUUCAUUGUUUCUCUGCACUACGGGGCUGACGCUUCCGUCCAUGUCCCUUAAGAAGUAAGAUUUUCAAUGUAUGCAAAGGCGACUGCUUUGUAUGUUUUAGGAAGAUUGCAUAGUCAAUUCGUUAACUUACUGCGUUAGAGGUUAGUGAGCCCAAGAGACAAAAUGGCAUGGGAUUCACCAUUGAGAAUCGCUGAUCUAGCAUAAGACGAUCCCAUAGAAGCAAUUGUUGGCUAGAGUCAGGUUUCACUAAAUCGUAAGUCUAAAUCCUUAGAGCUGGUGGUCGUAGGCGUCCUCUUCCACUAUAACUGGCUUAUUCGGUUUAGGAAGGAUCAUCUAAAAGUUGAGGAUUGAACCCAAGGCGGAACGAGAAAGCUGGAGGUUAGAAUCUCCCAUAAGAAUUUUCUUUCUCUUAACUUUAUUUUUAAUUUCUCGAAUUUUUGAUUCAAUAUUCUUAAUUUUGUUUUUAUUUUAUUUUUCGUUUCCAGACCCAAACCUUUAAUUCUAUUUUUUUUAUUUUUUUUCCAGGAACGCAGGUUUUCUCGGGAAAGAUUCUGCCUGGGAUUUCACAAAAUAAGAUAUUGUGCAAAUCCAGUCCCUAAGGAUUUUACCUUACUUUCCUUUUACUAUUCUUUUUCAUUAUUUAUUAGGGAUAGGAUAUUUUUUGUGCUUUCAACAACCGCAUUAGUAAAGUUUUUUUUACGAGGCUAUUUUUUGUGGGAUAUUGAUUCGAAUUGAUCUUUAUCUUUGCAAACAUUAAAUUCUUAUAUAUUAGAGGCUUGUGUAAGUUAAAAUAAGAUAGAGUUUCUAUUGCACUUAUUUUUUUCAUUGAGGAACUUGUAAUUGAUAGUGCAUUAAGAGUGUAAAAUAAGUUUGUUGCUUGGUUUUACAGCCAAAAUUCUCAAGGGAAGAACUUAGUGGUGAAUGAUUUAGAUAUUUAGAUACAAAAGUGAGGUUGCUAUACCGAGUUGUGAUAGGACUUAAAUAACUUGUUGUCUUGGGAUUAAAAAUAAUGGAUUUACUCAUUAAGUUAGGUUCCAUAGACAUAGAAAAAUCGAUAUGCAUAAACAAUCAUUUGUGUUCUAUUUUUUGUUGUUGUGUUCAUCAUAGUGGCAUCAAAGGUUGCCAUUACAACCAUCACUUUGUCAUCAAUUACUCACUUUAUUUUUUUAAGCAAUUAUCAACUACAUGCGCCAAGAGAAUGCUUGUUUCCAGUACUAUUGAUCAAAAUUUUGUAGGAAGCAUAAUGACAAAAAAGGAAAUGAUUACAAUCAACCCCUUAUGUAACAAUUCCAUUUGUAUGUUUGCAUGUUAUAAAAUGGUGGUUGUUAUAUACUACAACAUGUUGUUAUAAAAAGAUAAUUAUUGUAAACCUAAAAUAGAAUUUACAUUGCGAAUUACUAUCAUAUAAAGAAGGUGGGAAUUAUAUUAAAAAAGGAAAGUAGAAACCAAUUCAACAAAAUUAAAAGAUGUAUAAUAGGUGCAUGCAUUAUUACCUUUAUAUUUUAUUUUACAUUUUUCACAUGAUUAAUCGAUAUGAGUUUAAAUUAAAUUAAUUAAUUUAUCAUGUGUCAUUAAAUUCAAGUAAUUAAUUUAUAAGAUUAUGAUGUUCCAAAUUUAUAGUAGAAUAUUUAAUUAGAGAACUUAAUAGUUUAUUGAAUUGAUAUCUUUAAUUCCACUCAUUGAAGAUUUUGUCAUGUGAAAUUUAAACAUUUUAUUAAAAUAAUAUUUUAUGAUUGUUUAUGAUAAACUUAGGAUUUUUAAUAGUGUUUAUAUAUGUAUUAUGUUAAGAUACAUAAUGAUAAAACUAGAGUUUGUGGUAUGUUUUGAGAUGAUAGGCUUCACGAUUAUGUGAUUUAUUGUCCUUAGCUAAUUCAAAUAUAGAUUAAUGAGGUUGGUUUAAUAUAUGUUGUAGGGAACAACGAAAAUGGGAAAAAAUUAAAUAUUACCCUAAAACAAAUUGAUAAUUAAUAUAGUUAAAUUAAAUCCAUUUUGUUUUGGCAAAUGAAAAUCAUUGGUUUAAAAGGUUUGAGAAUUGAGGAACCUUUGCAAAACAUAAUGCGAUAUCAUCACUGUUUAUAGGAGCUGAGUAUAAAUAUUCUCUUUUCAUGUCUUUGUUGUUGGGUUUUUAGGUCUUUUUGUGACAAUUAUCAUUCCUCUCAUUUCAAUAUUUAUGAUAAUAAUACCUGUAAAGCACGUUGGUCAUGUCUUAUUUUUACUAUUUAUGUAAACAUGAUUCCCGUAUAAACUAUACUAAAAUUCGUAUUAUUGUAGUACUUAUUAUUAAAGUUUCAGUCCUGUGACAAUUGGUAUUGGACUGAGAUUUGAAGCUACCAGUUGAGAUGACAAAAGGAGUAGAAGAGCAGAUUGAACCCAGAGAGACCAUGGGAGGGGCAGGAGCUAUUUAUAUAUUUUUGAGAUGUUGAUAUCUUCCAGAGCCAUUUAUGACCACACACGAUAAUGGGUAAGAUAGGGUCCUACCUGACUUAUGGUUUAUCUGUUUUGAAGGGGGAAAUGGUUUUGUUUUAGAGAAGAAAAAUGAAUGCGUUGAUGAAACUUCUAAUUCUUGCUCCAUGUUUCUUCUUCAUAGCUUUAAUAAAGUUACUUUACGAUUACCUAUGGAUACCUCUCCGUAUUCAGCAUAUGCUGAAUUCACAGGGGAUCAAAGGACCUCCUUACAGAUUCAUCCAUGGCAACAACAAGGAAGUUACCAAAAUGAAACAAAAAGCUUUAAGCAAAUCUGUGGGCUUGACAGAUGAUCUAUUUCCCAGAGUACAUCCACAUUUUUACACCUGGACCAACAGAUAUGGUAAGAUCCAUGCCUGUUCUUUCACUAUGAUUUAUAACUUGUAGUUCUAAGAAAAGGUAGACCCUUUUUCUUUUCAUGUUAUUAGGGAAGAAUUUUGUUUAUUGGAACGGUGCUCGAGCUGAAUUGGUGAUUUCAGAGCCUGAAUUAAUCAAAGAAGUUCUGAAAAAUAGUGAACAAAUUUUUCAGAAAAAGCAGCUUUCAGAUAUCGGUAUGAAGUUCUUGGGGAAUGGACUUAUAUUCAUUGAGGGGGAAAAAUGGGCAAAGCAUCGAAAGCUAGCCAAUCACACUUUCCAUGGGGAAAGCCUAAAGGUAAGUCUUCCAAAUAUAUAAACUAGAUGUAAUUAAUUUACAAGAAUUAUACAUAGACUACAAUAUUUUGGUAAAAUUUUGCAUUCUUAGCUAAUUUAUUAUCGAAGUUGAAAAGAUUCGUGAAAAGUAAUUUUGAAAAAUUUGACAGCAUUUACCACUUAAGAUAUCAAUUUUAGAUUUAAUGUUGUAAAGUAAAAAAUAAUUCAGAGAUUUAAAAAAGAAGUCAUUUCAUUGAAAAACACUAUUUUAACUUUUUGACUUAGAUUAAAAUCUAAUUUGAAAUAAAGUUUAGUUUGAAAUUUUGUUUGUUUGCGAAUUUUUCUAAGUUGAAAUCAUGAUUUUGUGUUGAAAAGUGUUUUUCAGACUCCAAUUAUAUAUGUCACUACUACUUACAUAUUGGAGGAUUGUUUCCGCAGAACAUGACUCCAGCAAUAAUUGCUAGUGUUGAAACAAUGCUAGAAAAGUGGAAUGGCCAAGAAGGAAAAGAGAUUGAAGUGUACCAAGAAUUUAGGUUAUUAACUUCAGAAGUGAUUUCCAGAACAGCAUUUGGUAGCAAUUACAUGGAAGGGGAGAAGAUAUUUGCCAUCUUGAGAAAGUUGACAGUAAUUAUGAGUCGAAAUCUUUCCAAGACUAGAAUUCCUUUGAUCAGGUAUCUUCCCUCUACGCUUAAUUAAUCCCAACUUUUACCUUGAUUUCAACUAGCUUUUGAAUGCAACUUUUAGACUUUCAUUCCCCAUUGAUUUGGUUUUCUCCUUAUAUAUAGCUGACCCUGGUUUGCUUUUGCAGCAAGUUGUGGAAAUCUGCUGAUUUGCUAGAGGCUGAAAAACUUUCAAAAGAAAUAAAAGAUCGUGUGAUGAAGAUUGUUAAGAAAAGAGAAGACAAAGUUGUGAAUGAAGAAGUCAAUAGCUUUGGCAGUGAUUUUCUUGGAUUACUUCUAAAUGCCUAUCAUGAUUCGGAUGCGAAAAACAGGCUUUCCUUGGAAGACGUGGUAGCUGAAUGCAAAACAUUCUAUUUUGCUGGACAAGAAACUGUUAAUUCCUUACUUGCAUGGAUAGUCUUGCAUUUGGCAAUCCACGGAGAUUGGCAAGAAAAAGCGAGAAGAGAGGUGAUUGACAUAUUUGGUAACCAAAAUCCACAUCUCGAAGGCAUCGCGAAACUCAAAAUAGUAAGAAAACUAUCUAACUGGGAAUUCAAAUAGCCAUCAACAUUAUGCAAUCUAACAUAUUUGUCUAUUUCCUAAACAGAUGACCAUGAUCAUCAAUGAAACUCUAAGAUUGUAUGGUCCAUCAAAUGGCCUGGCAAGAGCAGUUACAAGAGAAGUUCAGUUGGGAAAACUACUCUUGCCUGCUAAUAUAGAUAUUCUGCCUUUAAAUAUUGGACUUCACCGUGACCCUCACUUUUGGGGAGAUGAUGUGCAUCAUUUUAAACCCGAGAGAUUCGCUGAAGGGAUUGCCAAAGCUACCAAUUACACCACGGCUGCAUUUUUUCCCUUCGGGUUGGGACCUCGAUCUUGUGUUGGUAUGACAUUUGCAACAAUAGAAACAAAGGUUGCUCUCUCCAUGAUUCUACAACGUUACACAAUUACCCUCUCCCCUGCCUAUGUCCACUCUCCAAUACCUAUUCUCACCCUUCGACCACAACAUGGAAUUCAGGUAAUACUUGAGCCGAUACAUAGUAAUGCUUGAAGUACAUAGCUGCUAAGAAAUAAGGGUUUAACAUGGUUCAUGUAUUUUAGUUUUAAAAGAUGACAUUUAAUAUGUAUAAGGUUCUAGCAUUUGCAACCCCUUCCCUCCUAUGGUGUGCCCACCUUCAUACAUAAUGAAAUGCAAGUAGCUACUUAUUUCCAAGAUGCUAAAACACACAAUCAAUAAAGAAGAAUAUGUCGAGGCAAGUUUUGGGAGCAGUGACUCGAGAAAUGACAACUGCGUUUGGCACGCGCAGGUCACAUAACUUUUAGCAUGUUUGAAAAAAAAUAUUUUGAUUACUUGCUUGCAUCUUUUUUAGGAUUUUGUGCAUCCAAUCUUGUGUUUAUUAUUUAAUUAAUCUCAGAUUGAUUUUUCUUAAACUAGUGGUUAUACUAAGGCUUGUUAGCGGAUUAAACUUUGUGCAAAACACUAUAGAUGUAGAUGUGUUUCCCGUGAUGGGAUUUGUAUCUACUAAAAAUAAAUUCCUACACUUGAAACCAAAAUUAAAUUUGUAGUAUAUAGAGUAGGGUUGAUCCCACAAAGGUUGAUCUAUCCAAAUUUCUAUUUCUUUAUAACUAGAACGUGUCCCGAGCAGUUUUUAUGCCCAUGACUUGUGCCAACCUAUACGAAAAACUAAGGGGAAUUAAAUCUGAAAAAUAAAUAAACAACAAAAAUAAAUUAAUAAUUAAAAUGAAGUAGAAAUAAGUAAAAUGAAAUUAAAAUUGAAUAAACCGAUAAAACAAAAGCUUUAGCUUCAAGCUCGAUUUUGACUUAGUCUUCAAACUGAUCACGGAGAAUGAAUUUUUUUUCCUUUAAUUAAUAAGUCAAUUAUAGAUGCCAAGGAACGAACCUCAAAGCACCUAAUUCUUCCAUAGUGGUAAAUUAAUUGCGGGAACAGCUCGACGGCUAAGCCUUAUCAAGUGAAUAACCUUGAAAGUAGCAUUGGUGAUUUAAUUCAUUGGUAGCCUUGCAAACUAAAAGAACCUGACUCAAAUCAACGGCCUCAAUUGUAUGAGUCAUUUAAACUUAAUUAUUAACUUCUUUGAUGGAUCCAACCACUCACGCCAUUUGUCAUGUCAAUUUGUAAUUCAGUGGAUCUAAUACAACAAUUACGGAUAGCAUCGAUUCUCUAACUUUAUGUCGUUCAACACUAAACCAAGGGACUCUUCUUGAUUUUGAUGCUAAAAUAACAUUGAGAAGUGAUCAAGUUUAUCUUUUAAAUUGGAGAAUUAACGAAUACCGAAAUGGAGAAUAUAAAUACGAUUUUAAAAGUUCACUGUUCAAAUAUUGGAUCAAUUAUCAAUCUAAAACUAGGUUAAAUUUAACAUCUCAUAAAUUAAAAAACAAGAAAAGAAAAUAGUUGAAGGAGAAUAUUUAAUUGAAAUUAAAAAAACACUAAAAUAAAAUCAAAACAAUAGUUAAAUGAUGAAGUUGCUUUGAAACUGGAGUUACCAUUUUCGUUGGAGGAGAUAACAGAGGCAGUGUGGAGUUGCGAUGAGUCGAAAGCAUCUGGGUCGGAUGGCUUUAAUAUGUGCUUUUUUAGAAAAUGUUGAGAUGUUGUAAAAGAGGAACUUUUUAGAAUGAUGUUAGACUUUUUUAGAUCUAGAAAGCUUGAGAGGAGCAUAAAUUCUUCAUUUAUUGCACUCAUAUCCAAAAUCGAAAAUCCAAAUAAAAUAUUAGAAUUUAGACCAAUUUUUUUGGUGAGCUUGUUGUACAAGAUAGUGGAAACGGUGUUAUCUCGAAGAAUUAGGGAGGUUGUUGGAGAGGUAGUGAGUGAAACACAAUGUAAAUUUACCAGAGGUAGACAAAUAUUCGAUGGAACUUUAAUUGUAAAUGAAAUUAUCCAUUCGAUUAAAAAGAAAGAUGGUAUUGGGGGGCAAUCUGAUUUUUAAACUAGAUUUUUCUAAAGCAUAUAUAUGAUUGUGUUUGUUGGGAUUUUUUGGAGUUAGUUUUACUCAAGAUGGGAUUUGGCGAGAAAUGGAUAGAAUGGAUUAUGGAGUGUGUAUCUAUGGCGAGAGUAGCAGUAAUUAUCAAUGGGUCAACCAAAAAUGAAUUCAGAUUCCGCCGAGGUCUCCAUCAAGGAUAUCCGUUAUCCCUAUUUUUAUUUAUCCUAGUGACGGAAGUGCUACAUUUCUCGAUGGAUAAAGCAGUGGAGAUGGGACUAAUUUAGGGCAUUCAAGAUGUUAUUCCCGUGUAGAUUUUUUCUCAUUUACUAUUCGCGAACGAUACUAUACUAUUCUUGAGAGCAGAUGAAGAUGAGGUGAGAAAUUCGAAGUAUAUUUUAUGGUGUUUUGAGAUCUUUUCAAGUCUUAGUAUCAAUUUCAAAAAAUCAUGUUUAGUAGGAUUUGAUGUGAAUGAAGAACUCUUAUAUCAAAUGGCUACAAUAUGUAAGUGUAAGAUAAGGUUUUUGCCUUUUAAUUAUCCAGGGAUUCUAUCGGGAGCAAAUCUGAGGAGAGUAUCCACUUGGGACGCAAUUGUAGAGAGAUUCAAGAAGAAAUUAUCGGGAUGGAAAUGUCGUCCGCUCUCAUGGGCUGCAAGGAUUGUAUUGAUUAAUGUUGUUUUGUCUGCCUUGCUAAUUUAUUUCAUGUCUAUAUUCCAAGCUCCAGUGACAGUUAUUAAAAGGAUCGACAAGAUAAGGAUAAAUUUUCUUUAGAGGAGUAUAAAUGGUAAAAGGAAGAUGGCAAAGGUAAGCUGGAAACAUAUAUGUAAGCCAAAGGAGAAGGGAGGAGCAGGAGUGGUGAAUCUCAUAAUUAAAAAUAGAGCUUAUUAGCAAAAUAGAGUUGGAGAUUCGCGGUUGAAAAAGACGCGCUGUGGCGAAAACUCAUCCUAGCAAGGUAUGGUUAGCGCACGCAACAGUGGCGCUUUAGGACGACUAAUCUAAAAAAUAUGUCGAUUGUAUGGAGAGGUAUUGUAGAAAAUUCUAAAGACGCUAAUUGUAAUACCCCUAACCCUUAUCCAUCACCAGAAUAGGGUUAUAAAGCUUUACCAGACUUUUCAAAAUCAAACACGAUCAUUUCAUAACAUUUAGUAUACAUAUUAAAAACUAUUCAUAUAAUACUCAUAUUGUCCCUUAUAUAGGCCCUCAAGGCCCAAAAUACACUUUAGAAGUGAGUCGGGAUUAAACCGGACACUCUAGAAAUUUUUCGCGAAAUGUCAAAAUUUUCCUUAGAAAUAAGGAACACACGCCCGUGUGGCCAAGCCGUGUGGCUCACAUGGCCUGAAGACAUGCCCAUGUCCUAAGCCGUGUGGGCAUUCAAUGUGAGGCACACGGCCGAGUCCCAGCCCGUAUCCUUACCCGUGUAAUUCUCUGACUUGUGUCACAUGGCCAACCACACGCCCUUGUGCUAGGCUGUGUGCAAAGUACAGGGGUCACAUGUCUGUGUGCUAGGUCGUGUGUAAAAACCUAGGCAUUCUGUUUUGAAAUUUCAAGGUGCAGGGGACACACGGCCAGAUCACAUGCCCAUGUGCCAAGCCGUGUGUCACACACGGCUGAGACACACGCCCGUGUCUCUGCCCGUUUGGACGAAAAUAGGCCAUUUUAAGGCCACUUUUCUCACCUUUUUUGACAUCAACCUAUAGACAGCAAUUCAAUAUACCAAAUAUCCCUAAUCAAGCAAUAAACACAAGCCAAAAAUCAUGUUUUAAGCAUAAUAAGCUAUCACGAAAUUCAAUUGUCUAAAUUUGCCAAACUAACUUCAUUCAUUGAUUUACCAAAACCUACUCCUAGCUAUAUACAUACAAACACACGCAUAUAUAUAUAAUUGUCAUUCAUAAUUAUACUCCAAGUAUAGCCUUUUUCAAUCCAUCCCUAUACAUGCCGUAUAAACCAUAAAAUGUACAACAAAAUCUACCGGAGUAAUCUAGAUAGUGUGACCCGAUGUGUUGAUUCGAACUUCUUGAAAAUCUACAAAGAACAUUAAACAACACAAGUAAUCUUAAUGAAGCUUAGUAAGUUCGUUGGCUUAAUACAUAAAUCUUACCGAACAUACCAUGACAAUUCAUUUAAGUAAAUCGUUCAUUACACAUUUCCUGCCAACUACAACUUUAAUCGAUGAAUUCGCUUCUUUGAGCUCAAUAUCAAUAAUAACCUAAAUUCUUCCACAUUAAUUCCAUAUAGCACUUGCCACUUCUUGUCAAUCAAAGAACGAUUUACGGAUUUGAGUACAUCGUAAACAAAAGCCCAAAGGUUGCACGAAAGAACAUAAGUGCUAAACUGAAACCUAUAAGGGUUGAACGAAAGCUCAUAAGAGCUAAAUGGAAACCCAUGAGGGUUAAACUGAAGCUCAAAAGAGCUGAACUAAAACUCAAAAGGGUUAUACUAAAGCUCAAAGAGCUAAACGGAAACCCAUUAAGGUUAAACGGUAACUUGUAUAAGUUAACUAAAGCUCAUGAGAGCUAAACGGAAAGUACACACGAAAUUUUGCAACAAAUGCUGAACCUUGAUUUACUUGGGUAAUUUACCGUCAAUUCCUCAUUUACACAGAACGACCUUACUCAAUCCGGCAUUCUGUUUGCUUCAAACAUUCAAUUCAAUUUCAUAACUUUAACAAUAAUAUUAUUUUCAACAAAUGACAUGAAUAAAUACAUAAUGUCAUUCAUCAAUUUAACAGUUAACAUUUAAAUUUAACCAUACGAACUUACUUGGGCUAAAUUGUAGAAUUCGUAGUAAUUCGGGGACUACUCAGCUAAUUUAUCUUUUUCACGAUUUUCUUCAGGCUCUUGAUCUAUAAUAUAAAAUUGUUCAUUUCUCAGUAUCUAAAUCAAUUCUAAUUCAUUUCAGAACUUAUGCCCUUUAAUUUUUGAAAUUACACAUUUGCCCCAACUUUUACAUUUUUUACAAUCUAGUCCCUCAUCAAUUUACCCAUCAAUUAAGCUAAUUUUUCUCAAUUAACACUUUAUCUAAUUAUUUUAAGUUACCAUAUACCCUUGAUAUUUAGAAUUUUAACACCAAACCCUAAUUCUUAACCUUUUUACAAUUUGGUCCUAAUAUCAAUAUCUAUCAAAAUUACUUAUUAAAAUCAUUAUAUAACAAAAUUAAAGCUUAAAUUCCAUGAUAAUUCAUCAUAAAAAUCCAUCAAUCAUCAAUGGUAACUUUUGAAAUUACCCAUAGAAUCAAAAACUAAUGAAAUAAGUAGUCGGACCUAAUUGUAAAAGUCUCAAAAACACAAAAAUUUCAAGAAAAGAGCAAGAAUUAAACUUACAUGAAGAUAAAAUAUGAAAACCAGCCUUGAGAGCUUUUCAAUGGUGUUUUUGGCUAAAGAAAAGUGAAGAAAUGUCUAGAGAUUCAAUUUAGUCCAAUUUUAACUAUUUAAUUUUAUUUCUUUUCCAAUUUUGCCCCUUGUUCACACUUAUCCUUUGAUUUUUUUCUGCUUGUACCGUCCAAGCCUUUCACUUUGGGCUAAUUUUCCCUUUUAGUCCUCCCUUAUUAAACACUUAAGUUAUUUAAUCAUUUUAGCAAAUUUUGCACAUUUUUCAAUUUAGUUCUUUUUAAUUAAUUAACCAUCAAAACGUUAAAAUUUUCUAACAAACUUUUGAUAGUAACUCAAUGACACUCCGUAAAUAUUUCUAAAAUUAUUUACAGCUCAGUUUAUAAAUUUUAGGCCUCGAUACCUCGUUUUCAAAACCACUUUUCUUAAAAUUCUUCUAAAACACAAACCACCAAAUCAAAAAUCUUUCUAAAAUCACACUUGACUCGUAAAUAAUAAUUAAUAAAAUUUUCAAACUCACUCGUCAGAUUUAGUGAUCUCGAAUCACUAUUUUUGACACCACUAAAAGUUGGACUGUUACACUAAUGUUUCUAAAUGGGUGGGGAACAAAGCUUUUAGAUGGAUGGUUGGGAAUGGAAGGAUGGCGAUGUUUUGAGAGGAUAUUUGGUGUUGUAAUCAACCACAAAAAAAAAAGAAUUUCCUAGAGUUUUUCGCUUAGCAAGAAAAAAGAAAGGUAUGGUAACAGAUUACUCGAGCAACAAUGGUUUCAGCAAUAUGAAUUACGGUGAAUUCUAACGAAGCUUUUAGAUGGAUGGUUGGGAAUGGAAGGAUGCGAUGUUUUGAGAGGAUAUUUGGUGUUGUAAUCAACCACAAAAAAAAAAGAAUUUCCUAGAGUGUUCCGCUUAGCAAGAAAAAAGAAAGGUAUGGUAACAGAUUACUCGAGCAACAAUGGUUUUAGCAAUGUGAAUUAUGGUUAAUUCUUUACACGAACAUUAUUGGAUAGAGAGGUUGUGAUGCUUCGUAGAUUGGAGGAUAUGGUGAAAAGCAUGGAGUUAGUUCUAGAGGUGAAGGAUCAGCUAAAUUGGGUGCAUGAUAGUAAUGGGGAGUUCACGGUAAAGAAGUUAUCUAACUUAUUAAUUAAGGUUGGAGGGGAAGACAUAAGUUUUGCUUUUGAAAAAAAUUGGAAGUUAAAGGUACCACCGAGAGUGCGAAGUUUUCUAUGGAUGCUUGCUAUUGAUAGAUUCCUACAAAUGAAUUUCUUGUUAAAAGAGGGGUAUAGCUUCAACACAUUUCAAUCAAAUGUGCAUAGUAUGAAAGAGUACCAGAGAGAGCAGAUAAUCUAUUCUUCAAAUGCAAAUAUAUUGAAGGGUUUUCGUAUAAAUUUUUCAAAUGGUGGGAGGUUGAAUGGAAAUCGGUAGAACGAUUUGCUAAUUUUAUUCUUUGUGUUAUAAUGUGAAAUUGUUAGGAAUCCGAAGAAUGUUAUGGUUGCUAUCAAUUUCGGCAGCUUGCUGGUCAGUGUGGACAGAAAGAAAUGAAAUUGUCUUCGAAAGAAAGGUGAUGACUAUGGAAGCUUUGAUAUUUCAAUCCAAGAUGAGGGCAAUGUUGUGGAUAAGGGUUGUAUAUGAUGAGUUAAUGGUGCAGGAGAGCUCUUGGUGGAUUUGUCCGAACAAGUGCAACUUUAAUACAAUUAAACCAGAUCCUCUUCGUCGAUAUGGCGCCUUCCUCCACAAGGCUAUCUGAAUUUCAAUGUAUGCGGGAUAGUAAAUGAGAAAGUUGCAGGUUGUGGUGGAGUACUAAGAGAUAUGGAGGGUGUUGCAAGAGCUUUAUUUUCGGGUCCUAUUGCAGCUAAUGACGCAGAUUCAGUAGAGGUAGAGGCAGUGUUUAUAGCAUUGGAUUUGUUGUUAUCCAUGGGAUGGAAGAUUAAUAGCUCUCUUAUUGUAGAAAUUAGUUCAAAAAUGGUGUACAAUUGGUGUCUGAACAAGAAUAUGAGACUGUGGUCGUUACAAACAACAUUUUCAGAUAUUGAAAGGAAAAUUGAGCAGGUUGGUAGUGUAGUAUUCUUGAUGGCAGAUCAAAAGGUAAUGAAAUGGCUUCAACCUUGGCGAUAGUAGGUAUUAAUCGUGGUGACAUGUUUAAAGCUUGUUAGUGAGUAUUAGCUUUGAUUUCGAAUAAUAGUUUUCAAUUGUAGGAAAUGUUUCAUUGUGGUAUUUUGUAAGUUGUACCUUUGAAUGUUGUUCUUGUUGUAUUUACAAUAGAUUAGUUUGAAUGAAGCAAAAAAAAAGUUGGUGGGUACCGUGUGCCCCCUCUCUUCACGCCUUACUAUAUAAUAAUAAUAAUAAUAAUAAUAAUAAUAAUAAUAAUAAUAAUAAUAAUAGACAAGCUUAAGAAUAUAAAAAGCCUUUACUCAUUGCCUAAGAUAAAAUUUAAUCCUCAUUAAUAUCUUAAAGAGAAAUCUUUCUAAAUAAUAAUAAUAAAAUAAUCCUAAAUUUUAAAUGUCUUGUAUGUCAACUUCUCAAUCCAACGAUAAAUUUACUUUUUUAUAUUGUACUCUAACACUUCGAACAUGCGCUAUAUUUAUAUAGAAAAUAGUCAAUAAAAUACCAAAGUAGUAACAUCCAUGUCCAAAAUUAAUCAGAAUAAAUCAUUAAAAAAAUGUCUAUUAAGAACAUUAUCAAAUCCCCCCUUAAUCAAUACUUGCCCUUAAACAUUUUAUGCAUUCAUCAUCUAAACAUAUCACAAUCAUCAAAGCCAAUUCAAUUUUCACAGUCCUUAGUUCAAUAAAAAAAAUAAGCACUAUCAAAAUUUUAACCCUACAACCGUCUCGCUCAAGCAAGCACAUAGAUUAACAAUUUAUGAUAAGUGCUAAAAGUAACAUAUUUUAACCUCGUUCUAUAACAUCUCAAAAUUGGGGGUUAGAAGUUUUGAGGUUUGUAGUGAGGGUCAGCGAGUAGGUCGAACAAUUGGUUUUAUUUUCGCUUUUUAAUAUCAAAAUGAGCUUGUUGGUUUGAUGGUAGAGUAUGUUACUAGUUUCCCUUGGACGAGUGUUUGAAUCCCAAUGUGAGAAUAAAGGAAGUUUUGUUUUAAUUUUAUUUAUAUUUUUUAUUUGAAAAAAAUAGAAGAAAAUCCUAAAAAUUUCUCACGUUCUCCACUUUCUCUUUCACAUCAGUCUCCCUCUUUCGGUAAAGAAAAAUUAUAGAUUCUGAUUUUCUUUCUUUUCUUUAUUGGGUUUCAAUACUUUUGUAAACCGCUGCCUUAAAAUCCUGGUGGUGCUUUUGUUCUUCGUUUGAUCAGACGUCGAAUAGGUUUAUUCGGUUAAUACUUGGUAAUUUGAUAUAAAUUUUAGGUCGAAAUUGUUUAUAGCUUUAGUAUGUUUGCAGAACUGAGUUUCAGGUCGUUAGAGUAAAGGCGAAGUGGUCGGUUCUUGGUGCUCUGGAACAUCAAUCAGGUGUGUGUUCUGAAAAUGUUUAAUUUUGGUAUCGAAUUGCUAUUGGAUUCUAUGGAAUUCAGCAGUUUCUAGUGUGUUUAUGAAAUUGUGUGAAUUCGGUAACGAAUUGUUGUUGGAUUUUAGGGAAAUAUGCAAAAUUCUGAUGUGUCUUGAAUGGUUAGCGAUUUGGGGUUUGUUUUGCUGUUGUGAAAUUGCAAUUUUAGCUUGUUUCGGUGUGGUUUCUUUACCACAUGGGCGUGUGCCGCACACGAGUAGUCCACACGGUCGUGUGACAUUGGAAAUUUGGGAUUUUGGACUUUUUUUAGUGCCACACGGUCGUGUGGCAGCUAUUUAGGGAUUUUUGUGUGCCUUGGACACACGGUCGUGUCCCUUAGCCAUACGGGCAUGUGAGAUUCCCACACAGCCCUGUUUACUUUGCUCCUUAUUUUGACAUUUUUGGACAGUGAGUGACAUUAAUUAUUCACACGACCAUGUAACUCGGUCGCACGGGUAUGUGUCUCCUCCACACGAGAGUGUACAGCUUGCACACGGGCGUGUAGACCACCACACGACCUAGUAGACCUCCACACAACCUAGGCACUACCACACAGCCGUAUGGCCCUGUUUUGCAAAUUUUUGUUCAGUGUUGAAAUUUUGCUCGUUUUGUGUUUCUGUAUAUUUCAACCCUUGGUUAAGUCUUGGUAACUGUAUUUGGGACUCCGCUGCAAUAUGGAUUUAAGUGUGUAUGUAUGUGUUCAGUUUAGGUAAUCAGGAAAUGUAUUAAUGGAUUAUGAUGAAUGAGCUUGAAUUGCUUACUUGUUGUCGUAAUUCUGAAAUAUGUACAAACGCUAUUGAUUUUGAAAUUGUUCGGCUGAAUGUGAGUGACGGUCUCUGUGAGUCUAUUAGCGUAUGUUGUGCAUUCAUGCAUUUGCAUAAAAUCGAGGUUUUUAGUUGCGAAGAGAAGGAAGGCUGAUUGGGUAGUUCAACUGCAAUAUUUUUGUACAGCAGUUUACCGUAAUGAUUUAUACAUUUGUCAGCUAAGCUACAUAUUGUUAUUCGAGUGGCUUAGUUCCACAAUAUGUGGUGUGUAGGGUAGAUGGGCCUAUCAUGGUCCUAUGUCGUGUGCAGGGUGGACGGGCUUGAUAUAGCUCAUAGGUGGUGUGCAGGGUGGUCGAAGUGGUCUUCAGAUGGUUGGGGUGGGUUUUUGACUCGUUACAUUCGCUACGCAUCUAAAUAUAUGUUUGUUUAUGUGAGCAUUGAGGUGUUGGAGAUAUGACCAUUAUAACUUGAUGUGUUUUAUCUAAUAUGUGGUUUGGUAUGCUUUAAAAGCACCAUGUUAUUGAAUUACCCAUUGAGAUUUCCAUUUAUGAUUUGUGCUCAUAUACUGUUUUGGAAUACUCGAUGUGUUACUCCGUUUUGUUGAUUGCUUUUGAUUUCAGACUCACAUUGAGCUCAAGUAGCUCACCUCACCUUAGUGUUUCAUUCUUCGAGGUACUUUUCGUGUUCGAAAGCUGGACUCGGCAUGCCGGAGGUUUCAGACUAUCGAGUAAAUUGAUUUUGGUUCAAAUGAUGCUACUUAAAAAUUCAGUUGUUAUUUUCAAAUGGUUCGUAGGAAAGAUUAUAAAAAAUGUGGUAUGAGUUAAGUCUGGAUUUUCGAUCAACUAGUUGUUACGGUUUUAAACAAUUUAUAUGUUCCGUUAUAUCAAGGUUUCGAAAUUUUGGUUUGUGAAUGACAAAUUUAUGCUUUCAGAACUGUCAAAUGAUUCCAUAAGAAUUACUUCCGACUUGCGUCGAAUGCCAUUUAAAUGAUUCCAUAUGAAUUACUUCCGACUUGCGUCGAAUGCCAUUUAAACUUUGUUUCAAAAUUUAAUUAAGUGUUAUCUAACUUUCUAAAAUUACAUGCUUGUGACAGAGUUUUUAUCUCAACCACUUUAGGUGGUCAAUGUGACCUCCGAGAUUCGGUCUAAACUUUUAGGUCGGGUUUUAGGGUGUUACACAUUCUUAGUGUGUUUUUGGGUGAUUAUUCAAUGUUAAUGGUGAAUUUUAUGCUUCUAAUCCUUCAAAUUCUUAUUUUUAUGCUUAAAAGGGCAUUUGGGAGUAAAACAAGCAAAAAUUGGAGUAAGGUACAAGAGACACACGGGUUGACCCCUUCCACACUUCCUGAUAUUUAAAAUAAUCUAGAAAUAUAACCGAUUUUGAAAUAAAAUUUAAACAGAUUCUGAAAAAAAUUUUAACAGAUUCCCUAAAAAUCGUGGUUUUUCGCAUUUCAAAGUGCAAUUCUGCAAAAUUGACAUGACCUGCCACAUUGAAGCUGAUUUUGAAGUAGAUUUCUGUCAAGAUUGAAGACUCCCAGUUGAUUUCUUUGGAGAUUAUCAUUUCUUUAUUUCUUUCGGUUAUAUUAUAUCUUUGAUGUUUUUAUUUUCAAGCAUGAACUAAUUUUCUAAAUACAUAGGGAGAUGAACCCUAGGAUGGAUUCUGUCGUUUGAUUUUUAUUUUGCUCAAUAAAUACUUAGAUCUUAAUUCUUGAUAUAAUAUUUCUAGAUUAUUUAUCCAUGUUUGGUGUGCUUAAAUCAGAGGAGGAAUAGACCCUGUUUAAGAGUAGAUCUUGCGUAAUUGAGUGGAUUUGCAUGCAAUCCUAGACAUAAGACAACAUAAAUCUAUCGAAUUAGAGUCAAAUCUAAUAAGGGAAUUCAUAGCACAAGUUAAUGCGAUAAUAGGGGUUUUAAUUAGAAAGAAAUUUCAAUUAAUCAAUCUUGAGUUAGUUGCUCUUAUUCUCGAAAGAAAUAUUUGUAUAAUCUAGGGAUUUUUACAAAUCAAGUUGCUAAGUAAAGAAAUUGCGUAACUUAGAUUGAUAACGACAGAUGAAACCUAGAUGAGUAUUGUUUCGCUUCUUGGUUGUUAAUCGCUUAUUUUUCUGAUAUAUUUUUUGUCACAUUCUUUAGUUAGUUAAUUUAGUUAAUUUUAAUUUUAAUCAAUCACUCAAAUUUAUCGGUUAAAUAAUAAAAAGACAGUAUUUACUAGUACUUUUAGUCUUCGUGGAAACGAUAUCUUUAUUCACCGUAACUAUAUUGUUAAUUGAUACGUACACUUACCUUAGUCAAAUUUUUAGUUGUUCACGACACAUCAAUUCAAUUAAGCAUACAAUUAUUAAAUUAUCUCAUAAUUAAGCUGCACAACAUUAACUUACGUUAAAUUGUCAAGACACCAAAAUUAACAACCAUUUGUCCCAUAUUUUUGUGUUCAUUUUUUUUUCUUUUAAAAGUUUAUCUAGAGUGUCACGAGAUCUUUUUCCAUGAAAAAGGAUGACAAUCCAAACACUCCACUCCGAUUAAUCAAUUCACCACAUGUUGACUAACUUUAGUCAAAAUUGUUAAGAUCAAUAGAAUAGCUGAAUAGCUUAGAAUGUCACUAAAUCUUUUGACGUGAAGACAAAUGACAACCUAAGCACUUGACUCAAGUUACUCAAUCGAUCACAAUUCUAAGACUUUACUCAUAAUUUAGGCAAUUAAUGAGUAUUUAUUAAAUUAUUUUAUUGAUUAUUUUUUUCAAUUUUUUUUUGUUCGAAUGCAAGAUGAAACAUGUUUUAAGAGUAUUAAUCUCGUUAAAAAUUGCGUGAGCCUAAUUUUUUUUUUUUUGGUGAGUGCUUCAGCUAAGUAAUUAAUAAUUAUUAUUAUUUACUUUAAAAUAAAAUAAAAUUCAUGUAAAAGAGUAGCAUAUAUAGGCAGAGUAUUUAAACAUGCUUAAUAGAAAAUAUUCUAUCAAUUUUUGAAUCGCUUAAACAAUAAAAUGAUAUCUAAAUUAUAUUAAUUUUUUAAAAUUGGUAUUUAAAUUUUUCUUAAGUCAAAAUGGUACCUAAACAAUUAAUCUAUUAUCUAUUUAAUUCAGCCAAUCAAUUGCCACGUAAAUAUCUAUUUAUUUUUUUCAAAAUAUUACUAAAAUUUGAUAAAUAAAAUUAAAAAUAGUUAAAAAUAAAACAUCAUAAAUUUAAUAAAAUUUAAACCUUACGAAAAAAACAUUUUACUGAUUGAAAAAACAUCAUAAAUUAAUGCUACCAACAACUCCUAGAAAGAGUAUCCACUAAUAACAAUAAACUUACAUGAGUGAGGGAUUUAUUGAAACAAUCAGCAACCAAUUUUGACACUUUUUACCAAUUAUUUUAUAUAUUUAUUUUUUAUUAUUAUUAAAAAAAUUAAUUUAACUCUUUAAAAAUUACAAAGAUAUAGACUAUUAAAAUGAUGAAAUUAUUUAUUAUUAUUAUAAAAAUAUACAAUUUAAUUUCGACCUCCCAAUAAAUAUUUCAAAAUCCGCCACACGAAUGAUCCAAAUAAAAAGACGACAGUCAAUACAAUUAAAUUUAAAUUCUCACUUAAAUCCAAAUUCAAAGUAAAACAAAUGUGACAGAAUGAAUCAAAUAGUGGGAGAAUGUUUUUCAAGAAGUAGAAAUGCAAAAAUAGCUUCAAAAUCUACUCUUACUAAAAAAAAAGAAAAAUAAGAAAGAAUUUAUUAUCUUUUAUACUAUUAAUCUCUCACAUAUACGGCCAAGCUACUCUGAACGUACAACGCACCCAUUUGCGUCAUUGCAAACGCAAUUUUGGUCCUUAUGCUAUAAUAAAGGGGGAAAUGAUUCUGGUUUAGACAAGAAAAAUGAAUGCGUUGAUGAAGCUUCUAAUUCUUGCUCCAUGUUGUUUCUUCUUCAUAGCUUUAAUAAAGUUACUUUAUGAUUACCUAUGGAUACCUCUCCGUAUUCAGCAUAUGCUGAAUUCACAGGGGAUCAAAGGACCUCCUUACAGAUUCAUCCAUGGCAACAACAUGGAAGUUACCAAAAUGAAACAAAAUGCUUUAAGCAAAUCUGUGGCCUUGACAGAUGAUCUAUUUCCCAAAGUACAUCCACAUAUUUACACCUGAACCAACAGAUAUGGUAAGAUCCAUGCUUGUUUUUUUCACUAUGAUUUAUAACUUGUAGUUCUAAGAAAAGGUAGACCCUUUUUCUUUUCAUGUUAUUAGGGAAGAAUUUUGUUUAUUGGAACGGUGCUCGAGCUGAAUUGGUGAUUUCAGAGCCUGAAUUAAUCAAAGAGGUUCUGGAAAAUAGUGAACAAAUUUUUCAGAAAAAGAAACCUUCAGAUAUUGGUGGGAAGUUCUUGGGGAAUGGUCUUCUAUUCAUUGAGGGGGAAAAAUAGCCAAAGCAUCGAAAGCUGGCCAAUCACACUUUCCAUGGGGAAAGCCUAAAGGUAAGUCUUCCAAAUAUAUAAACCAGGUGCAAUUAAUUUACAAGAAUUAUACAUAGACCACAAUAUUUUGGUAAAAUUUUGUAUUGUUAGCUAAGGAUAAGUUUAUUAUGGACGUUGAAAAAGUGUAGUAAAAACAUACUUUCGAAGAUUUUAACACCAUUUACUACUUAGGAGGUCAAUUUUAAACUUGAUGCUGUAAAAUAAAAGAUUGAAUCAGAGAUUUAAAAAAAGUAAUUUCAUUAAAAAGCACUCUUUUAGCUUUUAGACUUGGAUUAAAAUCUAGUUUGAAAUAAGAUUUAGUUUGAAAAGGUGUUUAUUUGUCAAAUUUUUUAAUUUAAAAUCAUGAUUUUGUGUUAAAAAGUGUUUUUCAGACUCCAAUUAUAUAUGUCACUAUUACUUACAUGUUGGAGGAUUCUUUGGGCAGAACAUGACUCCAGCAAUAAUUGCUAGUGUUGAAACAAUGCUAGAAAAGUGGAAAGGCCAAGAAGGCAAGGAGAUUGAAGUGUACCAAGAAUUUAGGUUAUUAACUUCAGAAGUGAUUUCCAGAACAACAUUUGGUAGCAAUUACAUGGAAGGGGAGAAGAUAUUUGCCAUCUUGAGCAAGUUGGCAGUAAUUAUGAGUCGAAAUGUUUCCACGACUAGAAUUCCUUUGAUCAGGUAUCUUCCCUCUAAGCUUAAUUAAUCCCAACUUUUACCUUGAUUUCAUGUAGCCUUUGAAUGCAACUUUUAGACUUUCAUUCCCCGUGGAUUUGGUUUUCUCAUAUAUAGCUGACCCUGGUUUGCUUUUGCAGCAAGUUGUGGAAAUCUGCUGAUUUGCUAGAGUCUGAAAAACUUUCAAAAGAAAUGAAAGAUCGUGUGAUGAAGAUUGUUAAGAAAAGAGAAGACAAAGUUGUGAAUGGAGAAGUCAAUAGCUUCCGCAGUGAUUUUCUUGGAUUACUUCUAAAUGCCUAUUAUGAUUCGGAUGCGAAAAACAGGCUUUCAUUGGAAGACGUGGUAGCUGAAUGCAAAACACUCUAUUUUGCUGGACAAGAAACUGUUAAUUCCUUACUUGCAUGGAUAGUCUUGCAUUUGGCAAUCCUUGGAGAUUGGCAAGAAAAAGCGAGAAGAGAGUUGGUUGACAUAUUUGGUAACCAAAAUCCACAUCUCGAAGGCAUCGCCAAACUCAAAAUAGUAAGAAAACUAUAAAACUGGGAAUUCAAAUAGCCAUCGACAUGAUGUAAUCUGACAUAUUAUUCUAUUUUCCAAACAGAUGACCAUGAUCAUCAAUGAAGCUCUAAGAUUGUAUGGUCCAACAAAUGUCCUCCAAAGAACAGGUACAAGAGAAAUUCAGUUGGGAAAGCUAAUCUUGCCUGCUAAUAUAGAUAUUCUGCCUUUAAGUAUUGGACUUCACCGGGACCCUCACUUUUGGGGAAAUGAUGUGCAUCAUUUUAAACCUGAGAGAUUCGCUGAAGGGAUUGCCAAAGCUACCAAUUACACCGCGGCUGCCUUUUUCCCCUUCGGAUUAGGACCUCGAUCUUGUGUUGGUAUGACAUUUGCAAUGAUAGAAACCAAGAUUGCUCUCUCCAUGAUUCUACAACGCUACACCAUUACCCUUUCCCCUGCCUAUGUCCACUCUCCAGUACUUAUUCUUACCCUUCAACCCCAAAAUGGAAUUCAAGUAAUACUUGAGCCGAUACAUAGUAAUGCUUGAAGUACAUAGCCGUUAAGAACUAGAGGUUUAACAUGGUUCGUGAAUUCUACUUUUAAGAGAUGAUAUUUAAUAUGUUUAAAGGUUCUAGCAUUUAUCACAAAGACAAACGACUCGUGGUCAUGUUUACUUUUCAUCUAUCAUGCAAUGUCGAUGAGAAGAUACCAUUUACCAAUUAGUUGGGUUAUGAAUUCUACUAUUUUGAAUGAUGUUACAUACUAUAGAAGUUGUGUAUCCAGUGCACCAACUUUUAAUGGUUCUUUAUCUUAGCCUUUUACUUGCAUCAAAGUAUACGAGCCAUGCAUGCAUAGUCCAUCAUCCACUCAAGAUUAAGGUAUAUCACACUAUGAACAUCACAAGUAAAUAGAUCCAUAAAUGGAUUUAGAAUCGAUUCUCCUUGGGUCUUAUCUGAUGUACUGUCAGUCCAGUCAAUCACAUCUAUGUUUUUAUCUUUUAGGAGUCAUCUGUUCCAUUUGAGACAAAGCUUCUCCACAAUUGGGCUUGAUAGACGACAUAUUAGUUUCUCAAUCGAUUUGCUCAUUUUCAAUUAGACUAAGGACAUAUUUAGGUUUAUCUACUAAUACAAGCUAUCUUUUCAUAUCACGAUCUGACCACGUGAUACCGCUUAGUAUUAAUUUAAACAUUAGAUAACCAAUGAGUCAACAUUUGCUUCCAUUUUGCUUUGCAUGCAAAAACAUUGAGGACAAUAUCCAAAGGGUAUUACUUUAAUUAAUAGAUAUUAUUAAACCAAUUUGUUUGAAAAAUACAAUUAUAUAAAACGAACAUAGUACACUUAGUGUACCAGAUCCAACAGUGGCCACUACAGCUAGCAUUGCCAUUAUAAGCAACAUAACUUGACAUUUUUGGAGUUGAAAUCUUUUCAGCAAAAUCAGUUGGGCAACGACUUAGAUGAUUUUGUGGACAUGUGUUGGCUCAUAUUUGAAGAUCCAUUUUGUGGAAUCAAUCUUUGAAUAUUAAAUCAAUCUGAAUCAAGCAAAUUGGAUCACUUAUUUUGUGGAGAUUGGCUUGACUUAUUUGAAAAUUUAUUUUCGAAAUCUUUGAUUUAUUCUUGACUUUGAGGAUAUUUGUAAAGUUUUUUUUUACAAGGCUAUUUUUUGUGGGAUAUUGAUUCUAAUUGAUCUUUUAUCUUUGCAAACAUUAAAUUCUUAUAUAUUAGAGGCUUGUAUAAGUUAAAAAAAGAUAGAGUUUUUAUAGCACUUAUUUUUUUCAUUGAGGAACUUGUAUUUGAUAGUGCAUUAAGAGUGUAAAUUAAGUUUGUUGCUUGGUUUUACAACCAAAAUUCUCAAGGGAAUUUAGUGGUGAGUGAUUUAGAUCUUUAGAUACAAAAGUGAGGUUGCUAUACCGAGUUGUGAUAGGACUUCAAUAACUUGUUGUCUUGGGAUUAAAAAUAAUGAAUUUACUCACUAAGUUAGGUUUCAUAGACAUAGAAAAAUCGAUAUGCGUAAACAAUCAUUUGUGUUCCAUUUUUUGUUGUUGUGUUCAUCAUAGUGGCAUCAAAGGUUGCCACUACAGCCAUCACUUUGGUCAUCAAUUACGCACUUUAUUUUUUUAAGCAAUUAUCAACUUUAUGCUCCAAGAGAAUGCUUGUUUCUAGUACAAUUGAUCAAUUUUGUAGGAAGCAUAAUGACAAAAAAGAAAAUGGUUACAAUCAACCCCUUCUGUAACAACUCCAUUUGUAUCUUUGCAUGUUAUAAAAAGGUGGUUGUUAUAUACUAUAACAACAUGUUGUUAUAAAAAGAUAAUUAUUGUAAACCUAAAAUAGAAUUUAUAUCGUGAAUUACUAUCAAAUAAAGAAAUUGAGAAUUAUAUUAAAAAAAGGAAAGUAGAAAUCAAAUCAACAAAAUUAAAAGAUGUAUAAUAGGUGCAUGCAUUAUUACCUUUAUAUUUUAUUUUACAUUUUUCACAUGAUUAAUUAUAAAAUUCAUCAAUCUAACAAAUAAUUAAUCGAUAUGAGUUUAAAUUAAAUUAAAUUAGUUAAUUUAUCAUGUGUUAUUAAAUACAAGUAAUUAAUUUAUAAGAUUAUGAUGUUCUAAAUUCAUAGUAAAUUAAUAUUUAAUUAGAGAACUUAAUAGUUUAUUGAAUUGAUAUCUUUAAUUCCACGAAGAUUUUUCAUGUCAAAUUUAAACAUUUUAUUAAAAUAAUAUUUUAGUUAAGAUCAUUUUUAUUUAAUAAAUUAGAAUUCAUAUAAGCAAUAUAAUUAAUCAUAAUAAAUUAUAAUUAAUAGGCUUGUAUAUCGGUCCAGUGUAAUUAAUAGACUUGCUUAAAUGAGUUUUAAAAUAUAUUUUUAAAUUUAAAAUUUUAUUUCUUGAAUAAUGAAUUGUUACCUGCUUAAUUUAUGAAAUAUCUUUAUUGACUUAUUUGAUUGCAUUGGUGAAACAAUUAUUUUAGUAUUUUUAAAUUUUAUGUAUAUAAAAUUUUUAAAAAAAUAAUAAUAAAUCUAAAAUGACACAUCGAAACAGCUGAAUAUUGGCACAUGCGAAUACCAAUAAAAAAAUCAACAUCCACCAAUUUACCCGUUACUUUUUGGUAUUAGGUAGUGGGAGAUUUGGUUUUUGCUUUUGUUUUUGAGAUGUUGAUAUGUUUCACAUCAUCCAUAAGAUGGGCUCUACCUCACCUUUUGUUUGUCUGUUUCCCAUGCUUUCCAUACAAAUCACUAAAAGAAUGGGCUAAAAUGUCAAAUAAACUCUUCAAAAAUAAUUUUUAAAAAACUUAAUUAAGUCUCUUAUAAUAAAGUGCACCAAAUUGAGCUUUUUUAAAUCACAAUUUGCACUUAAUUAAUCCCCUUGAAUUCAUUUUCCCAUUGAAUCCCUUUACGUUCAGUUAACUGCUGACGGGGCAGGUGAUGUGGAAAAAUGAUGGUGUGUUAAUUAGUUUAUAUGGCAAGCUAACAUGGAGGGCUUAAAUGAUUUUUUAUUAUUUUACAAGGGUUUAAUUAAUUAUUUAAAUAAAAAUUAUUAAAAUUUUAAAAAAUCUAAUUUUAAAAUAUAAAUUAUAAAAAUCAUAAAAAAUAUUUUAAAAAUAUUAAAAAUGAUAGAAAAUUUUUAAAUGUUAUAAAUAGUUUAUAAAAACACAGGAAAUUUAUUAAAACAUCGUUAAAUAUAAAUACAUUAUCAUAAAAAUAGCAUAAAAUUUUAGAAAUUAUUAAAAAAUACAAAGAAAUACGAGUAAGUUAGAGAAAAUUAUUAAAAAUACAAAAAAUAUUAAAAAUUAGUAGUAACUUUUAUAAAAAUUAUUAAAUAGAUUUUUUUAUUGGUUUGGAGUGUUUGGCAUUUUCAAUUUUAUUUUUUUGGACAUUAGAGUCUUUGGUUUUAGUAAUAAGGAAAUGGGGAGAUUGAAGUGCGAUGAUCAAACUUGUGAGGGGUUUGAGUGACCAUGGGUUUAGUACUUGAUGGCUUAAAGUGAGCGAUCAAUAGAGGUGUUCAUGGACCGAUCCUGUUCAAAAAAUAAAAAAAAUGUUAAAGAAAGCUUUUCUAAAUAUUUUAUAUAUCUUAUAAUUAAGUUAAAAAUAUAUUUUUAUUAUUUUUAAAAUGGCGAAACGAAUCAUUUUGGCGAGCUAGGUCUAGUUGGGCUCAAGCCUAGAAAGUUUUAUGAAAUUAGGCUUAAGCUCCACCCAACUCAUGAAUACCUCUAGUGAUAUAUAAUGAUGUUGUAUUUGAGGAAAGAUGAUGCGAGGGACAUUAAUAAGGAAGGGUUGAUAUAUGAUGUAUGACAAUGCGUGAGAGAAAACAAAAAUGUGUAAUAAUUUUAAAUUUUUUAUAACUUUUUCUUUAAUUUUUAUAUUUCUUUAUAGUAUUUGAAUAGUUUUAAUAAAUUUUAUAUAUUUUUUCUAAAAAAAUUUAUAACAUUUUAUAUUUUUCUAUAUUUUAAUGUCUUAUAAUUGUUUAUAAAUUUAUAAUAAUUUUUAUGAAUUUUUAAUUUAUAUUUAAAAACUAGAUUUUUUUUUUAGAAUUUAAAAAUCGAAACAAUUGAAUAGGUGGAAUCGCUUCUUUAAAAAAUAUUUUUUUAUAUUUUUAUGAAAUUUUAAUUAUUUAUUUAAUCGUUGUUAGUUUAAGAGCCGAUUGAAUUAAGAAUCGAGAAUUUUAGACAUUGUGUCCUAACUUACGGGACGUGAUUCUUCUUCUGGAUUAACGUAGAAAUAUGCUUCUCUCUUUAAAGUUUAUUUUUCAAAAUUUUGAUAAAGGAUCGUAUUUUGAAUCUUUUUCAAGUUUUCAAUAUUCGACACUAAGACAUUAAUUAAUCAACUAGGUAUCAAUUUUGGGCGUUACGAGGGUGCUAAUCCUUCCUCGUGCGUAACCGACUCCCGAACUUAUUUUUCUAAAUUUCGUAGACCAAAACCGUUGUUUUAAUAAAAUCAAAUCGUUUAUUAAAAACAACUACUUUUCGAGGUGACCCGAUCACACCUCAUAAAAAAAAAGGAUUGGUGGGGACAUUUGUUUUCGUUUUCAAAAUCCAAGUCAAGCCCGUUUUAUCAAAAAAAUGGUUACUAGCUUUAGUCAAAAUUGUUAAGAUCAAUAGAAUAAGCGAAUAGCUUAGAAUGUCACUAAAUCUUUUGACGUGAAGACAAAUGACAACCUAAACACUUGACUCCAGUUACUCAGUCGAUCAGAAUUCUAAGACUUUACUCAUAAUUUAGCAAUUAGUGAGUAUUUAUUAAAUUAUUUUAUUGAUUAUUUUUCAAUUUUUUUCUUUUGUGAUCGAAUACAAGAUGAAACAUACUUUAAGAGUGUCAAUCUCGUUAAAGAUUGUGUGAGCCUAAUCGUUUUUUUUUUUUUUGUGAGUGCUUCAGCUAAGUAAUUAAUAAUUAUUAUUAUUUACUUUAAAAUAAUAAUAAAAUUCAUGUAAAAGAGUAGCAAUGGCAUAGUAUUGAAACAUGCUUAAUAGAAAAUAUUCUAUCAAUUUUUGAAUGGUUUAAACAAUAAAAUGAUAUCUAAAUUAUAUUAAUUUUUUAAAAUUGGUAUUUAAAUUUUUCUUUAGUCAAAAUGGUAUCUAAACAAUUAAUCUGUUAUCUAUUUAAUUCAGCCAAUCAUUUGCCACGUAAAAUAUUUAUUUAUUUUUUUCAAAAUAUUACUAAAAUUCGAUAAAUAAAAUUAAAAAUAGUUAAAAAUAAAACAUCAUAAAUUUAAUAAAAUUUAAACAUUAAGGGAAAACAUUUUACUGAUUGAAAAUACCCUUAAUCAGAUUUUACUAACAAUCCCUAUUUUUUUCAAACAAAUCACAAACUCUUUUAGUUCAAAAAAUUGCAAAUCAUCUUUUUACAACCUUCAUUAAUCCUUUGUGGAAUUGAUAGAAGGGUACGUUUGAAGAAUUAAUUUGUUUUUCUUGAAACCCUUGUUUGUCAAUUUCAUUGAUGAAACCUUUCUAAUUUCAUCAGUAUUUGAUUUUUAUUUUAGGUUAAUCGUAAAACUUUAAUUGAUUUGGGCAAACCGAAGGAGUUGUAAAAAGGUUGAAAGGUAUGAUUUAGGCUUAAGGGUUCUUUUAUAGUUAAUAUGUAGAAUCGAAUGUAUGUGACUUUUGGCAAGUUGUCGGUUCUUGAAAUUUUAUAUUGAGAAAGUAGAACACACCUUUUAAGGGGAAGUUCUUUGUUUGACUCGAGAUUAUUAGUCUGUUGACAAAAAGCCAAAAAAAUGUGCCAUUUGCUUUGAAGUUAUUUAUGAUUGUUUACGAUAAAUUGAGGGUUUUUAAUGGUGUUUAUAUAUGUAUUUUGUUAAGAUACAUAAUGAUACAACUAGAGUUUGUGAUAUGUUUUGAGAUGAUAGGCUUCUCGAUUAUGUGAUUUAUUGUCCUUAGCUAAUUCAAAUAUAGAUUAAUGAGGUUGGUUUAAUAUAUGUUGUAGGGAACAACGAAAAUGGGGAAAUAUUAAAUAUUACCCUAAAACAAAUUGAUAAUUAAUAUAGUUAAAUUAAAUCCAUUUUGUUUUGGCAAAUGAAAACCAUUGGUUUUUAAAGGUUUGAGAAUUGAGGAACCUUUGCAAAACAUAAUGCAAUAUCAUCACUAAAACACUGUUUAUAGGAGCUGAGUAUAAAUACUCUUUUCAUGUCUUUGUUGUUGGGUUUUUUAGGUCUUUUUGUGACAAUUAUCAGUCCUCUCAUUUCAAUAUUUAUGAUAAUAAUACCUGUAAAGCAUGUUGGUCAUGUCUUAUUUUUACUAUACUAAAAUUUGUACUAUUGUAGUACUUAUUAUUAAAGUUCUAGUCCCGUGACAAUUGGUAUUGGACUAAGAUUUGCAGCUUUCUGUUGAGAUGAGGAAAGGAGUAGAAGAGCAGAUUGAACCCAGAGAGACCCAUGGGAGGGGCAGGAACUAUUUAUAUAUUUUUGAGAUGUUGAUAUCUUCCAGAGCCUUUUAUGACCACACACGAUAAUGGGUAAGAUAGGGUCCUACCUGACUUUUGGUUUAUCUGUUUUGAAGGGGAAAAUGGUUCUGGUUUAGAGAAGAAAAAUGAAUGCGUUGAUGAAGCUUCUAAUUCUUGCUCCAUGUUGUUUCUUCUUCAUAGCUUUAAUAAAGUUACUUUAUGAUUACCUAUGGAUACCUCUCCGUAUUCAGCAUAUGCUGAAUUCACAGGGGAUCAAAGGACCUCCUUACAGAUUCAUCCAUGGCAACAACAACGAAGUUACCAAAAUGAAACAAAAUGCUUUAAGUAAAUCUGUGGGUUUGACUGAUGAUUUAUUUCCCAAAGUACAGCCACAUAUUUACACCUGGAUCAACAGAUAUGGUAAGAUCCAUGCUUGUUUUCUUCACUAAGAUUUACGACUUGUAGUUCUGAGAAAAGGUAGACCCUGUUGGUGCUGUAACUGAAACUAACAGACUCAGCACAGACUUGUCGAGCAAGUCUCGAGACUUGCUGAGCAAACAAGAGAAUUCGAGCAAAAGAAAGGAAGAAAAGCUAAGAAAAAAUGAAUAGGAAAAUUGAUGAACAAAACUGAACUAUAUUCAUAAAAUUGAAUAAUGGCAUAAUGCCAAUACAUAAAUCAAGCACUAAGCUUGUCAAAAACAGCAAGUAAUUACCUAAACAUCACCUACUCCCACUAAUUACAUGGAAACUUGAAAUUUUAGCUUGUAAACCUAUACAAAGUUGUGUUUACAGCUCAUACAUAAGCUAAUUACAUCAGUCAACAACCUAACUUAGUUAGAAAUGAACUAAGAUUACAUUUCAUUGACUAGAAAUUACAAAAUAAACAAAAUAAGCUUGCAUCAGCAGCUCCUGUAUGUCUUGGUCUUCAUGGCCUGCAUGCUGUCGAGUUUGUUGCAUGCUGAACCAACUUCAUCACUCCUCCUUGGUUUGCAUGGAGCAAACACCUAGCUUCUUUCUUAGACAUUCGAACCUUGUGACACUAAGGGCUUUGGUUAAAAUGUCUGCAAGUUGAUCCUCUGAAUUACAGUGGAUCAGCUUUACUUCCUGAGCUUGCUCCAUUUCUCGAACAACAUGCAGCUUGAUGCUGAAAUGCUUUGUUCUUCCGUAGAACACUGGAUUUUUAGCAAUUGCUACAGCAGAUUGGUUGUCACAGAAGAUCUCAGUAGCUUCCUCUUGAUGCAUAUUCAAGUCAGCUAAGAUUUUCCUUAGCCAUAUGGCUUGGUUGACAGCACUUGCUGCGGCCACAUACUCUGCUUCAGCAGUAGAUUGAGCCACUAGACUUUGCUUCUUCGAGCUCCAGCAAAACAUGGCUAAACUAAGAUUAAAAGCAUACCCUGAGGUGCUUUUCAUGUCAUCUAUCGAGCCAGCCCAGUCACUAUCAGUGUAGCCAACCAGCUUCAGAUUUCCUUCUUUGCUAUACUUCAAACCAUAGUUCAAAGUGCCUUUGACAUAUCUCAGCACUCUCUUUGCAGCUUGGAAAUGCUUCUCAUUGCAGCAAUGCAGGAAUCUUGAGAGCAAUCCUAUAGCAUACAUGAUGUCUGGUUUAGUGGCAGUCAAGUAUAGCAAACAACCAACUAGACUCCUGUAGGUUGUUUCACAUACCUUCUCAAAAACACCUUGGCUCGAUAGUUUUUCUCUAACAGCAACAGGUGUUUUAGUUGCCUUGUUGUUUUGCAUGGAAAACUUGGUCAGAAUCUUUGUGGCAAAGCUUCUCUGGCUUAGAAAUAUCUCAUUCUGUACUUGAGACACCUCCAUUCCAAGAAAAUAGGACAUCUCCCCAAGAUCAGACAUUUCAAACACUUCCUGCAUCUUGGUCUUGAAAUCAGCCAGCACUGCUCGAUCUCCUCCUGUCACCAGAAGGUCAUCAACAUACAGGGACACAAUGAGUUGUGUUUGUGUCCAUUGUUUCUUGACAUACAGUGUUGGCUCACUCUUGCUUCGAUCGAAUCCCAGAUCAGUCAAGUAGCCAUCGAUUCUGCUGUACCAGGCCCUUGGAGCCUGUUUUAAUCCAUAUAGGGCUUUCUUCAGUUUGUAGACCAUAUGCUCUUUGCCAGCUAUUUCAAACCCUUGUGGUUGUUCAACAUAGAUGUUUUCAUCUAGGAAACCAUUCAGAAAGGCUGAUUUUACAUCGAGCUGAUGGAUCUUCCACUCGAGCUGUACUGCUAAGCCAAUCAGUAGUCUGAUGGUGUCGAGCCUGGCCACUGGUGCAAAGGUCUCCAAGUAGUCCAGGCCAUAUCUCUGACUGAACCCCUUGACUACUAGCCUUGCUUUCAGCUUAUUCAAGGUACCAUCAGCAUUCUGUUUGGCUUUGUACACCCAUUUCACCCCAAUCACCUUCCUUUUGACUGGCCUUUCAACCAAUUCCCAGGUCUGGUUCUUCUCAAUCAUGUUGAUCUCCUCAGCCAUUGCCUGCUUCCACCCUUGCUGAGCCUCAGCCUCUUCAAAGUUGCUUGGUUCAGCUAUGGCUACAUGAGCCCUUUCAUAAAUCUCAGUCAAUGGCCUUGUUCCUCUGACUGGUUCAUCAUCAAUGUCCAUUUCUGGAACAUUUUGGUCUGGCUCAGCUUGGUCUGUUGCUAGUUCUUCAGAAACUUCUUCAGGUUCAUGUCUUUCCCAGUUCCAACAUGACCUUUCAUCAAAUACCACAUCCCUACUAACUGACACUUUGUUUGUUGAAGGAUCCAAGAUCCUAUAGCCCUUCUUAACAGUGCUGUAGCCCACCAGUACAGCAGGUUGAGCCCUUUCAGACAAUUUGUCCCUUUUAACAGCAGGUACAUGUGCAUAACAAAUGCAUCCAAAGACUUUCAGAUGAGCCAGUGAUGGCUUGAAGCCAAAUCAGGCCUCGAAUGGGGUCUUCUGAUCCAAGGCCUUUGUUGGUAGUCUAUUUUGAAUGUAUGUUGCAGUGUUAACUGCUUCUGCCCAUAGUAUUCUAGGCAAAUUCUUCUGAAUCAUUAAGCAUCUGGCCAUAUCCAUCAAACUCCUGUUCUUCCUUUCACUUACACUAUUCUGCUGAGGUGUAUAUGUGUUGGUAAGUUGAUGUUUGAUGCCUGCCUUAUCACAGAAGGCUUGGAACUGAGCUGAGGUGUACUCAGUCCCAUUAUCAGACCUUAUGGUCUUCAGCUUGCAGCCUAUUUCAGUCUCAGAAGCAGUCUUGAACUUCCAAAACACUGAGGCCACCUCUGAUUUUUGUUUUAAGAAGUAAAUCCAACAAUAUCUUGAAAAAUCAUCAAUGACCAGUAUAAAAUACCUAUUUCCACUUAAUGACUCAGUCUUCAUAGGGCCACACACAUCAGUAUGCACCAGUUGGAGUUUUUCAGAGGCUCUCCAGGCUUGAUUCGAGGGAAAUGGGAGUCUGGCCUGCUUUCCUAGCUGACAUACUCCACAUACAUCAUCAUGGUCCACUGAGUUGAUGAAGUUUUUAGCCAGGUCUUCUCUGACCAUUCGGGCCAUCGAUCUGAAGUUGGCAUGUCCCAGCCUUUGAUGCCACAACUUGGAUUCAUCUGAUGUGGCUGUGUAGGCAAUGUCUGACUUCUUUGUCCAGUCAACCACAAAGCUCUUAUCAGCCAUAGGGACUGCCAUCAGUUUGGAUCCACUUGGAUCACUGAUUUGGCACUGGUUGUCUUUGAACACAACAGAAUACCCUUUCUCCAGCAAUUGAGCUAUGCUAAGCAGGUUUCUGUCAAUUUCAGGCACCAAGAGCACAUUUGAAAUCACUUUGGCACCUGUAGAAGUGCAUAUCAGCACAUCACUCUUGCCUUCAGCUUGAAUGAAAUGACCAUUUCCUAUUUUGACCUUAGUUCUGCAGCUUCUGUCUAAAGACUUGAAGAUUGCAGCAUCAGGUGUCAUGUGGUUGGUGCAUCCACUGUCUAGGAGCCAACCAGAUGAGAACCUUUCCUGAGCAGCUGAGCAUGACAUAGUAAAAACUUGCUCCUCUUAGUCACUGUCCUCCUUAGCUACUCGAGCCUCAGCUUUCAUCUGUUGAAACUGAUUGUGCCUUGAUUUGGCCUUGCUCUUGCAAACUCUCUCAACAUGACCCUUCUUCUUACAAUGCUGACAUACAGUUUCUGGAUUAAACUAGCACUUUUCUUCUAGAUGACCAACCCUUCUGCAGUGCUUGCAAGUCUGACCUUCUCUCCUUGCAGCAUCAUUCUUUGGCUUGUCUCUCCAGGCCUUCUUGCCUUUAUAGGCAGUGUUUAUUCUUUCCUGAAAGGCACCUUCUUGAUGCUCCUCCAGCCUGCUUGCUCUCCUCUACUCUUGAGCAUAUAGAGCAUUGAUCAACUCUGUCAGGGAGAUGGUGGACAGAUCCCUUGAGUCCUCGAGAGAUGAGAUUUUUGCCUCAUACCUCUCAGGCAGAGUUGCUAUAACCUUCUCCACUAUCCUAGCUUCAUUGAACUGCUCUCUAAGGAGCCUGAUGCUGUUAACCACAGCCAUAAUCCUGUCAGAAUAUUGCUUGACAGUUUCUUCUUCCUUCAUCUUCAAAUUCUCGAAAUCUCUCCUCAAGUUCAACAACUGUUGCUGCCUUGUCAUCUCUGUCCCUUGAAACUCUUCCUGCAACUUGUCCCAGGUCUGUUUUGGUGAUUCACAGGCCAUAAUCCUUGUGAAAAUCACAUCAGACACUGAGUUCUAGAUGCGAGACAUGGCUUUGUGCCUCUUGGUCCUCUCAUCAGCAUGCUGCCUGAUCUGAGCCACUGUUGGAUUGCCUCUAAGUGGUUCUGGUUCAACAUCUGAGUUGACCACCUCCCACAGAUCGUAUGCCUGCAGGUAGGUCUUCAUUUUGACCACCCAUAUGUGAUAGCCUUCUCCAUUGAAUACUUGAGGUGCAGCUGGUGAAAAGCUUGAUGAAGCCAUGUAUUUGUAUAACAGAUCCCUUAAGAAAUAGGCUCUAGAUACCAAUUGUUGGUGCUGUAACUGAAACUAACAGACUCAGCACAGACUUGUCGAGCAAGUCUCGAGACUUGCUGAGCAAACAAGAGAAUUCGAGCAAAAGAAAGGAAGAAAAGCUAAGAAAAAAUGAAUAGGAAAAUUGAUGAACAAAAAAGAACUAUAUUCAUAAAAUUGAAUAAUGGCAUAAUGCCAAUACAUAAACCAAGCACUAAGCUUGUCAAAAACAGCAAGUAAUUACCUAAACAUCACCUACUCCCACUAAUUACAUGGAAACUUGAAAUUUUAGCUUGUAAACCUAUACAAAGUUGUGUUUACAGCUCAUACAUAAGCUAAUUACAUCAGUCAACAACCUAACUUAGUUAGAAAUGAACUAAGAUUACAUUUCAUUGACUAGAAAUUACAAAAUAAACAAAAUAAGCUUCCAUCAGCAGCUCCUGCAUGUCUUGGUCUUCAUGGCCUGCAUGCUGUCGAGUUUGCUGCAUGCUGAACCAACUUCAUCAGACCCUUUUUCUUUUCAUGUUAUUAGGGAAGAAUUUUGUUUAUUGGAAGGGUGCUCGAGCAGAAUUGGUGAUUUCAGAGCCUGAAUUAGUCAAAGAGGUUCUGAAAAAUAGUGAACAAAUUUUUCAGAAAAAGAAACUUUCAGAUAUUGGUAGGAAGUUCUUGGGGGAAUGGUCUUAUUUUCAUUGAGGGGGAAAAAUGGGCAAAGCAUCGAAAGCUGGCCAAUCACACUUUCCAUGGGGAAAGCCUAAAGGUAAGUCUUCUAAAUAUAUAAACUAGGUGUAAUUAAUUUACAAGAAUUAUACAUAGACUACAAUAUUUUGGUAAAAUUGUGUAUUGUUAGCUAAGGAUAAGUUUAUUAUGGGCGUUGAAAAAGUGUAGUAAAAACAUACUUUUGAAAAAUUUAACACCAUUUACUACUUAGGAGGUCAAUUUUAAACUUGAUGUUCUAAAAUAAAAGAUUGAAUCAGAAAUUUUAAAAAAAAAGUAAUUUCAUUAAAAAGCACUCUUUUAGCUUUUUGACUUGGAUUAAAAUCUAGUUUGAAAAGGUGUUUAUUUGUCAAAUUGUUUAAUUUGAAAUCAUGAUUUUGUGUUGAAAAGUGUUUUUCUGACUCCAAUUAUAUAUGUCACUACUACUUACAUAUAGGAGGAUUGUUUGGGCAGAACAUGACUCCAGCAAUAAUUGCUAGUGUUGAAACAAUGCUAGAAAAGUGGAAAGGCCAAUAAGGCAAAGAGAUUGAACUGUACCAAGAAUUUAGGUUAUUAACUUCAGAAGUGAUUUCCAGAACAACAUUUGGUAGCAAUUACAUGGAAGGGGAGAAGAUUUUUGCCAUGUUAGACAAGUCGACAAUAAUUGUGAGUCAAAAUCUUUCUAAGACUAGAAUUCCUUUGAUCAGGUAUCUUCCCUCUAAGCUUAAUUAAUCCCAACUUUUACCUUGAUUUCAACUAGCUUUUGAAUGCAACUUUUAGACUUUCAUUCCCCCUGGAUUUGGUUUUCUCCUUAUAUAUAGCUGACCCUGGUUUGCUUUUGCAGCAAGUUGUGGAAAUCUGCUGAUUUGCUAGAGUCUGAAAAACUUUCAAAAGAAAUAAAAGAUCGUCUGAUGAAGAUUGUUAAGAAAAGAGAAGACAAAGUUGUGAAUGGAGAAGUCAAUAGCUUCCGCAGUGAUUUUUUUGGAUUACUUCUAAAUACCUAUCAUGAUUCGGAUGAGAAAAACAGGAUUUCAUUGGAAGACUUGGUAGCUGAAUGCAAAACAUUCUAUUUUGCUGGACAAGAAACUGUUAAUUCCUUACUUGCAUGGAGAUUGGCAAGAAAAAGCGAGAAGAGAGGUGGUUGACAUAUUUGGUAACCAAAAUCCACAUCUCGAAGGCAUCGCCAAACUCAAAAUAGUAAGAAAACUAUCUAACUGGGAAUUCAAAUAGCCAUCGACAUGAUGUAAUCUGACAUAUUUUUCUAUUUUCCAAACAGAUGACCAUGAUCAUCAAUGAAACUCUAAGAUUGUAUGGUCCAACAGGUGUCCUCCAAAGAACAGUUACAAGAGAAAUUCAGUUGGGAAAGCUACUCUUGCCUGCUAAUAUAGAUAUUCUGCCUUUAAAUAUUGGACUUCACCGUGACCCUCACUUUUGGGGAAAUGAUGUGCACCAUUUUAAACCUGAGAGAUUCGCUGAAGGGAUUGCCAAAGCUACCAAUUACACCGCGGCUGCCUUUUUCCCCUUCGGAUUAGGACCUCGAUCUUGUGUUGGUAUGACAUUUGCAAUGAUAGAAACCAAGAUUGCUCUCUCCAUGAUUCUACAACGCUACACCAUUACCCUUUCCCCUGCCUAUGUCCACUCUCCAAUACUUAUUCUCACCCUUCGACCCCAAAAUGGAAUUCAGGUAAUACUUGAGCCGAUACAUAGUAAUGCUUGAAGUACAUAGCCGUUAAGAACUAGAGGUUUAACAUGGUUCGUGUAUUGAACUUUUAAGAGAUGGUAUUUAAUAUGUUUAAAGGUUCUAGCAUUUAUCACAAAGACAAAUGACUCGUGGCCAUGUUUAAUUUUCAUCUAUCGUGCAAUGUUGAUGAGAAGAUAUCAUUUACUCAUUAGUUGGGUUAUGAAUUUCACUAUUUUGAAUAAUGUUACAUACUAUAGAAGUUGUAUAUCCAAUGCACCAACUUUCGGUAGUUCUUUAUCUUUUUGAACUUAGCCUUUCACUUGCAUCAAAGUAUACAAGUCAUGCAUGUAUAGUCCAUCAUCCACUCAAGAUUAAGGUAUAUCACGCUAUGAGCAUCAAAAGUAAAUAGAUCCAUAAAUGGAUUUAGAAUCUAUUCUACUUGGGUCUUAUCUGAUGUACUGUUAGUCCAGUCAAUCACAUCUAUGUCUCUCUCUUUUAGGAGUCAUCUGUUCCAUUCGAGACAAAACAUUUCCACAAUUGGGCUUGAUAGACGACAUAUUAGUUUUUCAAUCGAUUUGCUCAUUUUCGAUUAGACUAAGGACAUAUUUAGGUUUAUUUACUAAUACAAGCUAUCUUUCCAUAUCUAAUUCAAAUAUAGAUGAAUGAGAUUGGUUUAAUAUAUGUUGUAGGGAACAACGAAAAUGGGGAAAAAUUAAAUAUUACCCUAAAAUAAAUUGAUAAUUAAUAUAGUUAAAUUAAAUCCAUUUUGUUUAGGCAAAUGAAAACCAUUGGUUUAAAAGGUUUGAGAAUUGAGGAACCUUUGCAAAACAUAAUGCGAUAUCAUCACUAAAACACUGUUUAUAGGAGCUGAGAAUAAAUACUCUCUUUUCAUGUCUUUGUUGCUGGGUUUUUUAGGUCUUUUUGUAAUUAUCAUUCCUCUCAUUUCAAUAUUUAUGAUAAUAAUACCUGUAAAACAUGUUCGUCAUGUCUUGUUUUUACUAUUUAUGUAAACAUGAUUCCGGUAUAAACUAUACUAAAAUUUGUACUAUUGUAGUACUUAUUAUUAAAGUUAAGAAAUUAUUUAAGGUCGUGCGAUUUGUAAAAUUAAAGUUCUAGUCCCGUAAUAAUUGGUAUUGAACUAAGAUUUGAAGCUACCAGUUGAGAUGAGGAAAGGAGUAGAAGAGCAGAUUGAACCCAGAGAGACCCAUGGGAGGGGCAGGAGCUAUUUAUAUAUUUUUGAGAUGUUGAUAUCUUCAGGAGCCUUUUAUGACCACACACGAUAAUGGGAAAGAUAGGGUCCUACCUGACUUUUGGUUUAUCUGUUUUGAAGGGGAAAAUGGUUCUGGUUUAGAGAAGAAAAAUGAAUGCGUUGAUGGAGCUUCUAAUUCUUGCUCCAUGUUGUUUCUUCUUCAUAGCUUUAAUAAAGUUACUUUAUGAUUACCUAUGGAUACCUCUCUGUAUUCAGCAUAUGCUGAAUUUAGAGGUGAUCAUGAGUUGGGCGCCCUGGCCCAGCCUGACGGCCCGCCUGAAAAAUGAGAGGGUUUGGGUAAAAAAAAGAGACCCGUUUAAAAAAUAGGCCAAGCCUCAGGUAAAAUUUUUUUGGCCCCGGCCCAGCCCGAAAUAUAUAUUAAAUAUAUUUUUUUAAUCAUAUAUAUAUAUUAAAUAUAUACUUUUUUGGUGUUGUAAAAUUUAAUAUGGGCCAGGCCGGGCAGGGCUUAGCAAUUUUUUUCAGGUCGAGCUUGGACAAAUUUUUAGGCCCAUAUCUUGGGCCGGAUCAAGCCCGGGCUUAGAAAACGGGCCUAAAAUUUUAUCUUGGGCCGGUCCUGCCUGGCCAAUGAUCAUCUCUAGCUAAAUUCACAGGGUAUCAAAGGACCUCCUUACAGAUUCAUCCAUGGCAACAACAAGGAAGUUAUACUUUAAUUAUUAUUAUUUAUUUAAUUAUUAUUGGUCUAGUAGUCGAACCGAUUGAAUAAGAAAUCAAUAGUUUUAUCUUUUAACUGAUACUGUGAGAUUGUAGCACAUCAUCACCUAAAAAUUUAUAUAAUUUUUUUAAUUUUCAAGUGAUACAUAUGAUCAUGUCACAUCAUCAAACUUUUAAAAUUUUCAUGUUCAAAGAUUAAAAUAGACCUAAUUGUUAAAUUCAAAUGACAAAGUGGGCCAAAAAAAUCCUAAUAGCCAAUAAUAGAAAAAAUAUAUUAUUUAAAAAAAUAAAAAUAUUAAAGAAGACCCACGUGGUGAUAUUUCUCUUUUUCCAUAGUUCCCGACAAUAUUGUUGCCGUCUAUAUGUCGUAAAUAUGCUGCAACCAGCAAAAUUUGUUUUCUAAUAUUUGGCAACUUUUACUUGCAAGACAACGAAGAAAAACACUUAAAUAAUUAGUUCAGUCCUCCUCAAUAAUGGGAGAAUGUUUUUCAAGGCAAAAAUAGCUUCAAAAUCUACUCUUACUAAAAAAAAAAAAUUAUUAUCUUUUGUCCAUUUAAUUCAUCCACUAUUUAUAAUUAAAUAAUUAAAUUUCAAUUGAUAAUACCAAUUCCUUCAAUUCAAUCAUGUGUUGUUUUUUUUUAAAAAAAAAAACCUUACACGAAAUUCAUAUAAGAUAUAUAUGUAUAUAUCGAUUUUCAUUCUAUCUUUUUAAAAUAGAUUUGAAGAAUCUUACAAUUCGAGAAUUAAUAUUUUCAUUUGCUUAUUUGACUUUCCACGUGUAUGUAUUAGCUAGAUGAGUAUGAUUUUUUAUUUCGUAAGUGCCAAAUAAAUAUUACUUUAACAAAGGUUUUUUUUUUAUUACAAUGUUAUGAAUUGAAUUUCAAAAGUGCAAAUGAUACAGGGAGUGAAAGCAUAGUUAGACCUAAAAGAAACUAAGAAGUCAGUUGUUAUUGAGAAACGUCCUAAAUCCACUAUAUAAAAACAAAAGGACCAUCUGGAUUCAGUGUUAAGAGAAGAAACAUGAGUGAUUUGAUGGAGCUUGUGAUACAGCAUAUGCUGAAUUCAUAGGGAAUCAAAGGACCUCUUUACACAUUCAUCCACGGCAACAACAAGCAAAUUACCUAAAUGAAAAAGAAAGCAUUAAACAAUCCUGGCGUUGCAGUGGAACAGAUUAAAGCUACAAAUUAUGGUAGUGGAGCAGAUUAGAGCUACCAGCCUUAUCUCCCUGAAGUUGUAGCGGAGCAGACUGAAGAUAGAGAAUCUUAUUUCCCUAGCGUUGCAGUGGAACAGAUUAAAACUACAAGUUAUGGCGGAUCUUAUCUUCCUAAAUUUGCAAUGGAGCAGAUUAAAGCCACCAGCCUUAUCUCAUUGAAGUUCCAGCGGAGUAGAUCAAAGCUACAAGUCUCUUCUCCCUAAAAUUACAUUGGAGCAUAUCAAAACACCAAUUCCUAUACCCCUGAAGAUGCGAUGAAAUGGAAUGAGACUACUUGAAAGAAAGAAGCACCAUAAAGUCAAGAUUCGGCAAGACCAGGCAAAAUUAGCCUCUUUAAAGUCUUUCUACCAUUCUCAUUACACGAGAAUGAGCAAAGAGGGACAGUUGUAAUAGGCCAAUUUUGGCCCAGGCUCAAAACCAAAUAAAUAAAACCAAAACCUGAGAGAUUCGCUGAAGGGAUUGCCAAAGCUACCAAUUACACCGCGGCUGCCUUUUUCCCCUUCGGAUUAGGACCUCGAUCUUGUGUUGGUAUGACAUUUGCAAUGAUAGAAACCAAGAUUGCUCUCUCCAUGAUUCUACAACGCUACACCAUUACCCUUUCCCCUGCCUAUGUCCACUCUCCAAUACUUAUUCUCACCCUUCGACCCCAAAAUGGAAUUCAAGUAAUACUUGAGGCGAUACAUAGUAAUGCUUGAAGUACAUAGCCGUUAAGAACUAGAGGUUUAACAUGGUUCGUGUAUUUUACUUUUAAGAGAUGAUAUUUAAUAUGUUUAAAGGUUCUAGCAUUUCACAAAGACAAACGACUCAUGGCCAUGUUUACUUUUUAUCUAUCAUGCAAUGUCGAUAAGAAGAUACCAUUUACCCAUUAGUUUGGCUAUGAAUUUCACUAUUUUGAAUGAUGUUACAUACUAUAGAAGUUGUAUAUCCAGUGCACCAACUUUCGGUUCUUUAUCUAUUUGAACUUAGCCUUUUACUUGCAUCAAAGUAUACGAGUCAUGCAUGCAUAGUCUAUCAUCCUCUCAAAAUUAAGGUAUAUCACACUAUGAACGUCACAAGUAAAUAGAUCCAUAAAUGGAUUUAGAAUCUAUUCUACUUGGGUCUUAUCUGAUGUACUGUCAAUCCAGUCAGUCACAUCUAUAUUUUUAUCUUUUAGGAGUCAUCUGUUCCAUUCGAGACAAAGCAUCUCCACAAUUGGGCUUGAUAGACAACAUAUUAUUUUUUAAUUGAUUUGCUCAUUUUCAAUUAGACUAAGGACAUAUUUAGGUUUAUCUUCUAAUACAAGCUAUCUUUUCAUAUCACGAUCUGACCACGUAAUACCGCUUAGUAUUAAUUUAAACAUUAGAUAACUAACGAGCCAUUAUUUGCUUCCAUUUUGCUUUGCAUGCAAAAAUAUUGAGGACAAUAUCGAAAGGGUAUUAAUGUAAUUAAUAGAUAUUAUUAAACCAAUUUGUUUGAAAAAUACAAUUAUAUAAAACGAAUAUAGUACACUUAGUGUACCAAAUCCAACAGUGGCCACUACAGCUAGCAUUGCCAUAAGCAACAUAACUUGACAUUUUUGGAGUUGAAAUCAUUUUAACAAAAUCAUUUGGGCAACGACUUAGAUGGUUUUGUGGACAUGUGCUGUCUCAUAUUUGAAGAUCCAUUUUAUGGAGCAAUCAAUCUUUGAAGACUAAAUCAAUUUGAAUCAAGCAAGUCAGAUCACUUAUUUUAUGGAGAUUGGCUUGACUUUUUGAAAAUUUGUUUUCGAAAUAUUUGAUUUAUUCUUGACUUUGAGGAUAUUUGUAAAGUUUUUUUUUACGAGGCUAUUUUUUGUGGGAUAUUGAUUCUAAUUGAUCUUUUAUCUUUGCAAACAUUAAAUUCUUAUAUAUUAGAGGCUUGUGUAAGUUAAAAUAAGGUAGAGUUUCUAUAGCACUUAUUUUUUCAUUGAGGAACUUGUAUUUGAUAGUGCAUUAAGAGUGUAAAAUAAGUUUGUUGCUUAGUUUUUCAACCAAAAUUCUCAAGGAAAGAACUUAGUGGUGAGUUGUGAUAGGACUUAAAUAACUUGUUGUCUUAGGAUUAAAAAUAAUGGAUUUACUCACUAAGUUGGGUUCCAUAGACAUAGAAAAAUCGAUAUGCGUAAAUAAUCAUUUGUGCUCUAUUUUUUUGUUGUUGUGUUCAUCAUAGUGGCAUCUAAGGUUGCCAUUACAACCAUCACUUUGGUCAUCAAUUACGCACUUUAUUUUUUUUCAGCAAUUAUCAACUUUAUGCGCCAAGAGAAUGCUUGUUUCUAGUACCAUUGAUCAAUUUUGUAGGAAACAUAAUGACCAAAAAGAAAAUGAUUACAGUCAACCCCUUCUGUAACAACUCUAUUUAUUUGUUAAGAUUUUGCAAGUUAUAAAAAGGUGGUUGUUAUAUACUAUUACAACAUGUUAUAAAAAGAUAAUUAUUGUAAACCUAAAAUAGAAUUUAUAUCGUGAAUUACUAUCAAAUAAAGAAAGUGAGAAUUAUAUUAAAAAAAGGAAAGUAGAAAUCAAAUCAACAAAAUUAAAAGAUGUAUAAUAGGUGCAUGCAUUAUUACCUUUAUAUUUUAUUUUACAUUUUUCACAUGAUUAAUUAUGAAAUUCAUCAAUCUAACAAAUAGUUAAUCGAUAUGAGUUUAAAUUAAAUUAAUUAAUUUAUCAUGUGUUAUUAAAUUCAAAAUGGUACCUAAACAAUUAAUCUGUUAUCUAUUUAAUACAGCCAAUCAUUUGCCACGUAAAAUAUCUAUUUAUUUUCUUUUAAAAUAUUACUAAAAUUCGAUAAAUAAAAUUAAAAAUAGUUAAAAAAUAAAACAUCAUAAAUUUAAUAAAAUUUAAACGUUAAGGAAAAACAUUUUACUGAUUGAAAAUACCCUUAAUCAGAUUUUACUAACAAUCCCUAUUUUUUUCAAACAAAUCACAAACUCUUUUUGUUCAAAAAAUUUCAAAUCAUCUUUUUACAACCUUUAAUCCUUUGUGGAAUUGAUAGAAGGGUACGUUUGAAGAAUUAAUUUUUUUUCUUGAAACCCUUGUUUGUCAAUUUCAUUGUUGAAACCUUUCUAAUUUCAUCAUUAUUUGAUUUUUAUUUUAGGUUAAUCGUAAAACUUCAAUUGAUUCGGGCAAAUCGAAGGAGUUGUAAAAAGGUUGAAAGGUAUGAUUUAGGCUUAAGUUAACACCAUUUGUAAAGGGUUCUUUUAUAGUUAAUAUGUAGAAUCUAAUGUAUGUGACUUUUGGCAGGUUGUGGGUUCUUGAAAUUUUAUAUUGAGAAAGUAGAACACACCUUUUAAGAGGGAAGUUCUUUGUGACUCGAGAUUAUUAGUCUGGUGACAAAAAGCCAAAAAAUGUACCAUUUGCUUUGAAGUUAUUUAUGAUUGUUAAUGAUAAACUUAGGAUUUUUAAUGGUGUUUAUAUAUGUAUUUUGUUAAGAUACAUAAUGAUAAAACUAGAGUUUGUGAUAUGUUUUGAGAUGAUAGGCUUCACGAAUAUGUGAUUUAUUGUCCUUAGCUAAUUCAAAUAUAGAUUAAUGGUGCCACUGCCACAGGCAGCACAACUCCCCUUAUAAUGGGGGGACCAUUCGGCUGGUGGGUGGAAAAGAAAAGGAGAGGGAAAGAAAUGGAAAGGAGAAGAAAGAAAGAAAAGGAAAGGAGAACACUACACCAGAACAGGCUUUUAGCGGCAUAUUUUGUGGCGUUUUGAUAACAAACGCCGCUAAAAAUCAAGCAUUAGCGGCGCAAAGAAUAAAACGCCACUAAAGAUCUAGCAUUAGUGGCGCUUCUUAUAAAACGCUGCUAAAGAACAUAAUUCGCGGCGUUUACCACACAGCGCCGCAAAAUCUCAAGACCAACACGCAGCGUUCUGGUCUUGAUGUAUAUUAGCAUUAGUGGUGCUUACGAACAAACGCCGGUAAUGUAUAGUAUUAGCGGCGCUUAGCGGAAGCGCCGCAAAAGAUGUUAACCAAAACGCAGAGUUUGGUCUUGAUGUAUAUUGCAAUUAGUGGCGCUAAUGUAUAGUAUUAGCGGCACCGAGCGUUAAACGCCGCAAGACAUCUUAAUCAAAACGCAGCGUUUUGGUAUUGAUGUAUACUAUAAUUAGUGGCUUUUAAGGAAAACGCCAGUAAAGGAUAGUUAUAGCAGUGUUUGGUGGUAAGAUCCUCAAAAUAUCUUAACCAAAACGCAGAGUUUGGUCUUGAGGUGUAUUAGAAUUAGUGGCGCUUGCUGAAAAACGCCGCUAAAGUAUAGUAUUAGUGGCGCUUGUGGAACGCGCCGCAAAGUGUCUUAACCAAAACACAGCGUUUAGUUCUUGAUGUAUACUGGAAUUAGUGGCGCACAUGGGAAAACGCCAUUGAAGCAUAGUAUUAGCGGCGCUUGUACCGAAACGCCACAAAAAACCUAAGCCAGACGGCAUCGUUUCGAAACUUUUUAGUGCUUUAGCGGCGUUUUUCCUUAAAGCGCCACAAAUCAUUUUAUAUGUUUUUUAUAUUUAAUUUGUUUAUUUAUAUUAAUUAAAAUUUAAUUUAUUUUUAAUUGAAUAUUUGUUAAAAAUGGAAAACUUGAAAUAGUAUUAUUUAAAAUAAUUUUAAAAAAUGUUAGGUACAUGACUGAUUGAUUUGUAAUUUAUAUAUUAAAUAAUUUCAUAUAUAAUUAUAAAAGAUAGUUUUUAAAAUAUUUAAUUAUUUAUCAUUAUAGUUUAGGGUUUAAUAUAUAUGCAGUUUAGGGUAUACGGUUAAUUUAAGAUUUAAGGUCGGUUUAAGAGCUACAAUUUUAACGUUUAUAUAGAUUAUGGAAUUAUGGAUUCUGGUUAAUUUAAGGGUUGUAAUUUAGGGGUUAUAGAUUAAGAGUUAGGGAUUUAAGGUUUAUGGAUUCGGUGUCAGGUUAGGCUUUAGGGUUUAGAUUAAUUAGUGUGUUUUAAUUUUUAUAAAAUAUGGUUUAAGGGUUAGGGGGUAGGGGGUAGGGAUUUGGGUUAGGAUUUAGGGUUUUGAUUAAUUAAUAUUUUUUAAUUUAUGUAUUAAAUAAGGUUUAGGGUUAGUACAAGUUAGGGUCGGGGUUAGUGGUUUAAGGGUUAGAAGAUAAGAGUUAGUGAUUUAGGGUUUAAAAAUUCGGGGUCAGGUUAGGCCUAUUGGGAACUUUAGUGGCGCUGCAAAAUUUUUAUUUUAUUUAAGGGUUUACGUUAUAGAAUAUAUGAUUUAAUGUCCAUGGUUUAGAGUUUUAGGGAUUACAGUUUAAUGUUUAUUAUUUUGGGUUAAUAGUUUAUGUGUUAGAGUUUGUGUUUAGGGUUUAAGGAUGCUGUUUAAAAAUUGAAGAACAUUUAGAUUUUACUAAAGAUUCAUGCAAUUUAAUAUAUGAAUAUAAAAUAUAUGUUUUGUACAGUAACAUUGGCCACGCAAUUACCCUAAAAUAUGGUUUAGGAAUAUUACGGUUUGGGACUUUUGGUUUUGACUUUUACUGUUUGGGGCUUUAGGGUUUGGGGUUUGAGGUUUGGGGUUUUUGGUUUGGGGUUUGGGGUUUGGUUUUUGAGGUUUAAGGUUUAGAAAUUAUAAUUUAAGCAGGUUUAAAACGCGAAUUUAUUUUCUUUAAAUGUAUUACUCUCUCAUUUUUUUAUUAUUAAUUUUUCCAUUUUAUAACUUUGGUUUUAAUUUUGGAUCAAUUUAACUUCAAUCUUGGAUGACACUAUUUUGACAACUCACGUGCUAGUAUAUUUGUAUUCUAUUCUUAGCGUAUAUAUAAUUUAAAAUAAAUUAUAAAUAUUUUUAAAUUUUGUAGAAAUUUUAAACUUUUUUUGCAAUGAAAGCCGUUAGAGGCAUUUAUCUCAAAACGCUGGAAAGAUUAUUUAACGUUAAGUAAAACUGCAUCGUUUCCUGUCACUGGGAAGGGGAACGGCGCCGUUUUGUUCAUCCGUAUUCGCGGCACUUUGAAAAAUGCCGCCAAGUUGGAUUAGGAGCUAAUGAAACUGCGUCGUUUUACGUUGCUAUUAGUGGCGCUUUCCAUGAAACGCCGCAAAAUUGUAUUUAUGUUUAUUGAAAUGUUGUCGUUUUUGUCUAUUGUAUUAGUGGCAUUUUUCGGAAACGCCACAACAUUGGGUAAACUGUUGGGGAAACGGCUUCGUUUUGACUUAUAGUUAGUGGCGCUUUACUUGAAACGCCGCAAAAUUGUUCUAACAUUUGUUGAAACGUUGCCGUUUUGUAAAUGUAAUUAGUGGCGUUUUUGAGAAAACGCCAGGGGUUUGAGGUAAGUGUUGAUGAAGCGACCGCGUUUUGAGUUAUUGUUAGUGGCGCUUAGUUUAAAACGCCGCAAAGUUUUGACCUAUAUUUUAUGGCGCUUUGCUUAAAACGCCGCAAAAAUGUUUUUCAAUGUUUGAUUCGAUGCCGUUUAUCUAUAUUAUUAGUGGCGUUUAUAGGGAAACGCCACAUUUUUCAGCUGUUUGUUGAUGAAACGACCGCUUUUCAAUUAAAUUUAGUGGCACUUUGAUGUAAACGUCGCAAAUGGAUAUUUUUUUAGAUGAGAACGGCGUCGUAUUUUUUCCAUCAGUCUGACCAAAUAUUACACCCGAUAUUUCUCCAUCACUUAUCCCCCAAAUACUCAUUCUCCCCCAAAUCCCUAAAAUUUCCCCUAAUCCCUAACAGCCCCCCAAACCCGACCACCUGCUACUCUGCCAUCUUCUGUGCUGCAUCACUCCGUCCGUCCGUUUCUGGCGCCGCAACCAUCGGUAAGUUUGAGUACUUCGUUCUUCGUUCUUUUUCUUCAUGCGUUAAUGUCUCUCUGUUGCUUCUUCAUUGCUGUUGUUUUGACUCCUUCCUCAUAGCAACCCACGCUUUCAAUCUUUCAACUUUCCCAGAAACUCCAAGACUGAAACCGAGGAGAAGACGCUGCACUUAGUAAUUUCGGAUUCCAUCUUCAGUUUUGGGCAAUACCCUUUCCAAGGUAUAACGCUGUCGGUAUUAAUUUCAUCAUUUAAAAUUAGUGGCUUUGGGUCCUUAGUUCUGAUAUGGUUACUUUUAUUGGACUCGUUGAUGCUCAAAAAUCGGUCCUUUAUGCGUAAAUGGGUCGAUGCUUUUGAUUAGUUUGAUAGUGGGUUUAGGGUACCACGUGUUUCUUUUAUGUGAAAUGCCUUUAGUUUGCUAUAUAUAUAUGGCGUGGAAAAGUUAUUGGCAUCUGUUAUAUCUAAUGAAUUUCUUUUAAAAACUUUUCAAUGGGAAUCUUUUUUGUUAAAGAAAAACCAUUCUUCUGUUUGAUUAUAAUGAAUAUAUAUAGGCUUCCUUUUAUCAUUUCUGAUUUGGUUUGAUUUUGUUGUAACUUGUUAUAACCAAACUGAAAUCCGAAUUCAAUUGCUAUAAGUGCCUAACUGUUAUUUUGUAGUAAUGGAUUUAGAGUUAAAGUGUUUUAUUUUUUUCCUGUUUAUUUGGGUGUAAUUUUCAUAUGUUUUCCUUUUUUUUUGUAGUAUUUACUCCUAUUUUAAAUUUAUUUUGCAUGCAUUCCAAUUUUAGAUGAAGUGGUUGUAUGUUUGAAAUCGAAGUCAAUAUUUACUUUCAUAUUUCUUUCAUGCCAUUCCCAUCAAUCAUUUCAGCACUAGGCAUGAAUUCAAAAUUGUUCAGGUAUCCUGCAAAUGGCAUUGUUGAUAAGGAUGCAAAAUUUGUUUUCUGAUGUUAAUAUAGCCUUGAUUUUUCUCAUGUAUAGUUGUCAGUUGUUAUGGGUAAAUUUUAUAUAAUUUUAUUUAAUUUUAUAAUUAUUCGAAUAUAUAUUCAUAAUUAUACUGUAUUUAUAAUUAUCGAUUUUCAAUUUAUCAAUUUACAAUUUUAUUUCAAUUAAUAAAUGUUUAAUAAUCAAUUAAUAAAUUGAUCGAUUAAUUGAUUGAAUGUCAAUGAAUUAUCAAUUUUGGUUAGUUAAUUGAUUGAAUGUUUAAUAAAUUCAUUAUAUAAUGAAUUCUCAAAAAAUUAUUACUUGAUUGCAUGUUUAAUAUAAAUAACUUAUUAUGAUAUAUAUUUUAAAGUUAAUAUAUAAUUUCAAUAUUUAUUAUAUUUUUAAAUAUAUUUUUACAAUUUAAUUUAACUUAUUGAUAAUAUAUAUAUUGUUAAGUAAUAUUUUUUUAAAAUUGAUAUCUUACAUUACUUAAAUAUAUAUUUUUAAGUAUAUUCUACAUGACUUACAUAUUACUUACUAAAACAUAUUUUUUACUAAAAUUUACUUUAAUAUAUUACUUGAAUAUAUUACUUAAAUAAUUUACUUAAAUACAUUACUUACUAAAAUUUUUUUAAAUUUUAAAUACAUUACUUGUUUAAUAUAUUACUUACUAAAAUUUAAGUAUAUAUUACAUUCCUUACAUAACUUGUUAAAAUAUAUUAUAAUUUCAAUAUUUAUUAUAUUUUUAAAUAUAUUUUUACAAUUUAAUUUAACUUAUUAAUAAUAUAUAUAUAUUCUUAAGUAAUAAUUUUUUAAAAUUUAUAUCUUACAUUACUUAAAUGUAUAUUUUUAAGUAUAUUUUACAUGACUUACAUUACUUACUAAAACAUAUUUUUUACUAAAAUUUACUUGAAUAUAUUACUUAAAUAAUUUACUUAAAUACAUUACUUACUAAAAUUUGUUUAAAUUUUAAAUACAUUACUUAAAUAUAUAUUACUUACUAAAAUUUAAGUAUAUAUUACAUUACUUACAUAACUUGUUAAAAUAUAUUAUAAUUUCAAUAUUUAUUAUAAAUAAGAUACAUAAAAGUGACUGACUAUUAAUAUUUACUUACAUAAUUUAAUUUUGUAUUUACAAGAACUUACAUAACUUAUUAAUAUUCAAUAAACUUAUAUAACUAUCACACAUACACUUAUUAAACUUACAUAAUACAUGACUUAUAUAAAAUUCUCAAAUAAACUUACAUAAUACAUUAGUUAUAUAAUAACUUAUAUAAACUUACAUAAUACACAUUACUUACAUAGCAUACAUAACUUACAUAAUACACAACUUAAAUAGCUUACUUAAUACAUAACUUACAUAACUUAGACACGUACAUAACUUACAUAAUUUACUUAAUACAUAAAUAUAUAUCAUAUGAUAUAUAUUUAAAAAAACUCAUUUGUAGUUACCACUGAACAACUUACCCUUGUAAUUUCUGGUGAAAAUCAAACAUCAAGAAAUAAGAAAUGGACCGGUCUUGGAUGAAUUUGUCAAGGGUAAGCGACGGUUAUCGAAAUGGAGUACAGACUUUUCUAAAUUUUGCAUUUCAAUAUGCAAGCCAGGAGAACAUGAUUCUUUGCCCAUGUAAGAAGUGUGUCAACAUAAACUGGCAUUAUCGUGAAGUUGUAUACGAGUAUCUAAUUGUUGAUGGGUUUGUUCGGGGUUAUAAACAAUGGCUUUUUCAUGGAGAAUGCCCGCCUAGUACUUCCUCUUCAAGGAUGGAUGUAUCUUAUGACAGUACUACUUACCACCAGUCUGUUAGAGGGGAUGACAUGGAAGGGAUGUUGCGGGAAGCAUUUAAUAUUCACAAUCAUGGUUUACAGUCGUUCCCAGCCGACUUUGUUGCAUCUGAUGAUUGUAAUAUUGGUGGAAAUGCUUUUACCGAACCUGGAAGAAGUGUACAUCAUGAAGAGCCGAAUGGAGAAGCGGUGAAGUUCUACGCGCUACUUAAUGACAUGAAUGAAGAACUGUUUGAGGGAUCAAAAUUCUCAAAAUUAUCUUUUUGUAUUCGUCUUUUCCAGUUAAAGUGUUUGGGAGGGUGGACCGGGAACUCUUUAACAAUGCUGUUAGAGUUUUUGAGAGAGAUGUUUCCGUUUGCAAAAAUCCCUUAAUCAUGCAAAGAUAUGAAGACUAUGAUAAAAGACUUAGGUCUUGGGUACACCAAAAUCCAUAGUUGCCUGAAUGACUGCAUGUUGUAUUGGGGCGAUCGAAGAAACCAGUAGUGCUGUCACAUAUACGGCCAAUCACGUUGGAUAAAUAGAAACACAGAAGAUAGGAACGACGAUGAAAAUGAUGCACAGCCAAGAAAGAAGCCGGUCAAGAUUUUACGGUAUUUUUCGCUCAUACCAAGGGUUCAAAGGCUUUUCAUGUCGUCGAAGAUAGCGGAGUCUAUGACGUAGCACCAUGAUGGACGAACCGAUGAUGGGAAGAUGAGGCAUCCGGCAGAUUCUUUAGCUUGGAAAUCAUUUGACAAUAAAUUUCCAAGCUUUGCAAGUGAUCCUAGGAGUGUAAGGCUUGGCUUAGCAUCUGAUGGAUUUAAUCCGUACAAGAUCAUGAGUACUGCGUACAGUACUUGGCCAGUAGUGCUUGUUCCUUACAAUCUGCCUCCGUGGAUUUGCAUGAAGCAAUCUUCCCUUAUCUUAUCUAUGAUUAUCCCUGGAGAGAAAGGGCCCGGGAAUGAUAUCGACAUUUAUCUACAGCCACUUAUUGAAGAGUUAAAACAAUUGUGGACUGGUGUCGAGACAUACGAUGUGCUGAGAAAGGAGAACUUUAAUUUACGUGCAGCUUUGAUGUAGACCAUUAAUGACUUUCCCGCUUAUGCCAAUUUAUCUGGUUGGAGUACCAAGGGUCGUUAUGCGUGUCCUUGUUGUGCUGCACAAACAUGUUCGCAAUGGUUGUACAAUGGGAAGAAGUUCUCUUACAUGGGGCACCGUUGGUGGUUACCGAAAAAUCAUAGAUUUAGAUUUCAGAGUUCUGUAUUUGACGGCACUGAAGAGUUCAGAGAAGCUCAUUCGCAGACCAGUGGCUCUGAAAUCUUGUUCAUGUUGGAAUAUAUGAAUUUCAUUUAUGGGAAGAUGAACCAACCGUCAGACACGCAAAGAAAUAGAAGAUCCAAUGAUGAAGCUGAUGAUGACUCUGAUGAAGAGGACGAUCCUAAUGAGGCGGACUUGUGGAAAAAAAGAAGUAUUUUUUUUGAGUUGCCUUAUUGGGAGCAUCACCUUCUACGACACAAUCUUGAUGUUAUGCACCUUGAGAAAAAUGUCUGCGAGAACAUUGUGGGUACAGUUUUGAAUGUCGACGGAAAAUCAAAAGACAAUCUUCAAAGUCGACUUGAUUUAGUCCAAAUGGGAAUCUGACCUGAUCUUCAUCCCAAUCCACUUCCGAAUGGGAAAUAUCGGUUGUCACCUUCUAUAUUUUCAAUGUCCAAGACGGAAAAAGAAGUGUUCUGCAAGGUGUUGAAGGAUAUAAAGGUUCCAGAUGCGUAUGCAUCGAAUAUAUCUCGAUGUGUUAGUGUUAAAGAUCGAAGAUUAUAUUCGCUAAAAUCACAUGACUAUCACAUCUUGAUGCAAGAUUUACUGCCAGUGGCUCUACGAUGUUGUAUGUCCAAGAAGGUGACGUCUUGUAUAAUUGAACUAUCCAACAUAAUGAAAGCCAUUUGUGGUAAAGUUUUGGACGUUCAAGAACUUCAGAAGGUACAGGAUCGAGCCGCUUUGACUUUAUGCAACCUGGAGAAAAUCUUCCCACCUUCCUUCUUCACUGUUAUGGUUCACUUGAUAAUCCAUCUCCCGCACGAAGCAAUUCUUGGCGGACCCGUUUUCUAUCGAUGGAUGUAUCCCAUAGAAAGGUGUUAAUUAAAAAAGUAUAAGUUUUCCUUCAUUCACCUCUAUGCCUUUACUUUCAAUAAUUAAGAAAUGUUGUAUAUUCUGUUUAGGUUUCUAUCCAAAUUAAAGUNNNNNNNNNNNNNNNNNNNNNNNNNNNNNNNNNNNNNNNNNNNNNNNNNNNNNNNNNNNNNNNNNNNNNNNNNNNNNNNNNNNNNNNNNNNNNNNNNNNNNNNNNNNNNNNNNNNNNNNNNNNNNNNNNNNNNNNNNNNNNNNNNNNNNNNNNNNNNNNNNNNNNNNNNNNNNNNNNNNNNNNNNNNNNNNNNNNNNNNNNNNNNNNNNNNNNNNNNNNNNNNNNNNNNNNNNNNNNNNNNNNNNNNNNNNNNNNNNNNNNNNNNNNNNNNNNNNNNNNNNNNNNNNNNNNNNNNNNNNNNNNNNNNNNNNNNNNNNNNNNNNNNNNNNNNNNNNNNNNNNNNNNNNNNNNNNNNNNNNNNNNNNNNNNNNNNNNNNNNNNNNNNNNNNNNNNNNNNNNNNNNNNNNNNNNNNNNNNNNNNNNNNNNNNNNNNNNNNNNNNNNNNNNNNNNNAUCUUUUUAUGAAUGGUUAAGCCAAACGGUAUGCAGUUCGAGCUUCCGCUUACAAAUAAUAAUGUUUUCUCAUAACAUUUUUAAUUACUCAGUUUACUUUCCAUUCAAUAGGUUUGGAGUGGGAAGAACGUAAACGACGAUGUUAAAUGGCUCUCCCAAGGUCCAAAUCGAGUGGUUAAAAGAUAUAGUGCGUUCCUCAUCAACGGAUUCAGAUUUCAUACAAAAUAUCACGAGAGGUUGAGGAGAACGCAAAAUUGUGGAAUAGUUGUCAAUUCUGCAAUUACAAGUUAUGCUAGUGCUAGGGACAAUAAUCUUGUCGAGGGAAAUGUGGAAUAUUUCAGACAUCUUACUGACAUAAUUGAGUUGGAUUACUACGGCAAAUGGAAAGUUGUCUUAUUUCGUGGUGAUUGGGCCGAUGUUAAUACAGCUCGUGGAAUUAAGCAAGAUCAAUUUGGUUUUACAAUGGUGAACUUUGACCUAUUGAUUCACACAGGACAACAACUGAUAAAUGAGCCGUAUGUAUUCCCAUCUCAAGUCAAACAAGGUUUUUACUCAAAAGAUCCAACUGAUGAGGGUUGGUACGUUGUACUCUAUAACAUCCCUAGAGACUUGUUUGACAUGGGCAGUGGAACUAGAGAUAACAUCGACAACAGAUCAGUAACUUUGCCCUUUCCAGAACAAAACUUAAACGAUAAUAUCCCUAGUACUAGUGCACAAUUUCAAUGGGUUCGUCAGGAUACCGAUGCAGAUAUUUACGAAUAAUGAUGUAGUAAGAUUUUACGAUUGUUUAAUUAUAUGUAAUAUCAUAAUUUAAAUCUUGGUCUUAUUAUAUAUUUCAACUAUUUUAUAUGUGCUGUUAUUGUUGUAAUUAGUUAUCCCGUUGUCAACUAUUUUAUGUGUAUUGCAGAUAAAAUGCCUAGAAGAAAAAUUCUAAGGGGAAGCAUUGUUCAAAAUAAUCCAAACUCGACAGAAACAAAUAGUACUGAACAACAGACAGCAGUUGGAUCUUCGAAUGCUCCGAUUACAGCUGAGGAUCCUACAGAAGUUCAAAGUAAGUUUACAUUUAAUUUACAUGCGUGUUGACUUAUAGUUGAUUUAUUUUUCAAAUUCUUAUGUUAUAAUAUACCAUUUGUAGCUGAAAAUGGUGGGACGCGCAGAGGUCGAGGACAUACGCUACUUAGAGAGUUAUAUGAGUUAGAUCCAGUCGAGCGUGUCAAAGUUGGACGAAACAGUUUUGGUCAACCUGUUGGAUCAGAAGCUCGACUUUUAGCAGGAUACAUGGGCAUUUUAGCACGAAAUCCGAAUAUGUUGCCUAUCAACUACGAGUCAUGGCAUCAAAUGCCCGAUAGCAACAAAAACCAAGCCCUCGAUAAUAUUAAGGUAACAAAAUAUUAAUGCCAUCUGUAAUGCUUGGGAAAUAGUUUCAUUUAUAUUUACUUUAUUAACUUGUGUUUUUUGUUUUUUGUAGGUGAGGUUUGCUUUAGAGGUCUCGGAUGAUUACGUAAAGAAGGCAUUGGGAAAAAUAUGGAGAGACAAUAAAAGUACUUUGAAGAAAAAUUAUUAUAAAACAAAAACAACCCUCGAUGAGAAAUUGCAAAAUGUCCCGCCGGGUAUGUUGAGGUACCAAUGGGAAGAUGCGGUUAGAUUUUGGCAUUCGAAGAAAGGCGAGGUAUGACGUACUUCCAAACUAUUGUAAUUAUUUUGGUUUAUAGUAUUUUCUAUUUACGUACUAAAAUUUUGAUAAUGUAGGAUCAUGAAAAAGUUGGAAAAAGCAGCAGGCAGAAACAAAAAUUCACCCACACAGCCGGGUCAAGAAGUUUUGCAUGUGUAGCUGAGGCGGAGGUAUUUUUAAUUUAUUUAAUAUUGUCGAAUAUGUAUAACAUUCUAUUAAAUAAUAUUUAUACUACCAUAUUGUAGGAACUGUCGUCCGGUCAAAAAGUUGGACGCCUUCAACUUUUUGAAAUUACACAUAGGAAGAAAGAUGGAUCUCCCAUGACUCCUGAAGCCGGUGAAAUAAUGGUACGUUUACUUAAUACGAUUUGACUUAUUUUAGUUAUUUUUAGUGUUUAUUUUCUAAUGGUUUAAUUCAUUGCUUGUAAUGCGACUAUUGUUAUGUUGCAUAUGUUUUUUAAUAUAUAAUAUUGCGUUCCUAACUAUGUGAUUUAUUUAUUAGGAAAAACUAAAGGAUAAAAAGGCGGAGUACGAAGCGAUUGCUUCUAGUGAUAGUUCUAUUCAUCUUGAAGACAUUGAUAACCGAAUUAUUACUGAAGUUUUGGGUCCUGAAAGGUAUGGUCGGGUUCGAUUUCAAGGAUCUUUUGUUAGCCCAACCCAAUAUUUUGGAUCCAGCUCCCACCAAUACAUGGCUUCGGGGAGUCAGGCUCAAGCUGAAGUUCAGAGGUUGAAAGACCAGAUGGCUGAGAUGCAAGCGACCACAGUUGAGGUUCAAAGGAAAUAUGAAGAACUCCAGCUACAACUUAAAGCAGAGGCGGCAGCGAGGGAAGCAGAGGCCGCAGCGAGGGAAGCAGAGGCUGCAGCCAGACAAGCAGAGCAGACCAAAAAGUACGACGAACUCCAGCAACAGCUUCAGACUGUGAUGAAGAUGUUUCAGUCGUAACUUCCGCCUUCAUAGUGUAUGACAUAAAUAUUUUUAUCAUUUUAACAUUUAAAAUUUUUGCAAAAAUACUAUGAAUUCACUUUUAUUUAUUGAUAUUAAUAUUAUAUAAAUUCACUGUGAUGAAUUCACUUUUAGCGGCGUUUUUUUUCUAAGCGCUGCUAAAGAACAUGGUCUUUACCGGCGUUUUUGUUUGUAAACGCUGCAAACGUUUGCGACGUUUUCGUUAGCGGCCUUUUUUGCGGCGCUUAGUGGCGUUAAAAAGCGCCGCUAAAGGCCUAAAAAAACGCCGCUAAAGACCUGUUUUGGUGUAGUGGAAGAAAGAAAAAGAAAGAAAGAAAAGGAAAGGAGAAGAAAGAAAAAAAAAAAGGAGAAGAAGAGGGAAGGAAGGAAAAAGAAAGGAAAAAAGAAGUAAAGGUAAUUUUUUUGUAUUAAUUUUUUUUUGUAAUAUUUGUGUAAAAAAUGUAUGUGUUUUAUUAUUUUAUUUAGAAUAUAUAUUUUAUGAAAUUUAUUUAGCAUGAAAAAAUCCAUGUUAUAUACAUUCUAUGUUGAUUAGAAUUUUUUUUGUGAAAUUUAUUUAGGAUGUUGUAAUUAGUUUUUUUUAGGAAAAUAGCAUUAAAAAUAAAAUUAUAAAAAAAUAUGUUUAAGAAAACAUAAAAUACGAAAAGAAAAAAAACGGAAAUUGUAUAUUCAACGAAAGUAAUAAAAUCCGAAAAAAAUUGUAUAUUUAAAAAACACACUAAAUUAAUAAAUUUCAAACAUAAUGUACUAAAAUAAUGUAAAAUAAUAAAAUUAAAAAAUAUGAUUUUUUUAAAGUAAUAAAACACGGGAGAAAAAUACGAACAAAGGGCCGAAGUAGGGGUUUUUUACUAAAUUUUAAAAAAAUAAAAAAAAAAUUAAUACAUUUCAAACAUAAUGUACUAAAAUAAUGUAAAAAAUAAAAUACAAAAAUAAUAUAUUUUAUUAAAAGUAAAAAUAGGGAAAAAAAAUACGAGCAAAUGGCCGAAAUAAGGUUUUUUUUAAAUUUAUUUAAAAACACAUUAAAUUUAUUUAAAUUUCAAACAUAAUGUACUAAAAUAAUUUAAAAUAAUAAAAUUAGAAAAUAUGAUAUAUUUUAAAGUAAUAAAAUUCGGGAAAAAAUACGAACAAAGGGCUAAAAUAAGGGUUUUUUAUUAAAUUAAAAAAAGAAAUAAUUAAUACAUUUCAAGCAUAAUGUACUAAGAUAAAUUAAAAUAAUAAAAUAUGAAAAUAAUAUAUUUUUAUUGAAAGUAAUAAAAAUCGGGAAAAAAUAUGAGCAAAGGGCCGAAAUAAGGGUUUUUUAAUUUAUUUAAGAAACACACUAAAUUUAUUUAAAUUUAAAACAUAAUGUACUAAAAUAAUAUAAAAUAAUAAAAUUAUAAAAUAUAAUAUUUUUUUAAAGUAAUCAAAUUCGGGAAAAAAAUACGAACAAAGGGCCGAAAUAAGGAUUUUUUACUAAAUUUUUUUAAAAAAGAAUUAAUUAAUACAUUUAAAACAUAAUGUACUAAGAUAAAGUAAAAUAAUAAAAUACAAAAAUAAUAUAUUUUUAUUUAAAGUAAUAAAAUUCGGGAAAAAGUUCCGAGCAAAGGGCCAAAAUAACGGUUUUUUUUAAAUUUAUUUAAAAAACACACUAAAUUUAUUUAAAUUUCAAACAUAAUGUACUAAAAUAAUGUAAAAUAAUAAAAUUAGAAAAUAUGAUAUUUUUUUUAAAGUAAUAAAAUUCGAGCAAAAAAUACGAACAAAGGGCCGAAAUAAGGGUUUUUUUAAAUUUAUUUAAAAAACACACUAAAUUUAUUUAAAUUUCAAACAUAAUGUACUAAAAUAAUUUAAAAUAAUAAAAUUAGAAAAUAUGAUAUUUUUUAAAGUAACAAAAUUCGGGAAAAAAUACGAACAAAUGGCCGAAAUAAGGUUCGUUUACUAAUUUUUUUUUGAAGUUGCAGGCAUCGCAAUGGCUUCAUUGAUUAGCAGGGAUACACACAUCUGAUGCGGCUAAUGAGAUGGUAAUAUAUUAUUAUUUGUUAAUCACGGGUUCUAUUAAAAAAGGAUAUAAGUAAUAUAUAGAAAUAAAUCAUGGUAUCCUAAUUGUUUCUGUAAUUUAACACUAUCAGGACUCGUAUCGAGUAAUAAGGGGUCGGGUGAAUGGUUUAAAGCAUCCCCCGAAUUCACUAUUGAUGUCGUACUUGGAGCAAGCCUGAUUUGGGUCAGCAGCAUUGAUCCGGACGUUCGACUUGCGGUAUGAUUUAUUAUCUGCGAUAGUGGAGCGGUGGCGCCCGGACACCCACACUUUUCAUUUUCUGUGUGGGGAGUGCACGGUGACCUUAGAGGAUGUUACGCUGCAGCUUGGACUCCCAAUCGACGGAAGUCCCGUAAAGAGAGUAAGUUCAUUUACUGAUCCAGCUGCACUAUGUAAUCAGCUAAUAGAAGACUCGCCAAACGACGAUGACGAAAAUUUUACGAGCUUGAAAUUUACAUGGCUGAAAGCCAAAUUUGGACAGUUAUCAACGAAUGCCACUGAAGGUGAGUUGAUGUGCACUGCUCGAGCGUACAUCAUGCAUAUCCUAGGGGGAGUACUGAUGCCCGAUGCAAACAACAACAAGGUGCAUAUGAUGUACUUGCCCCUAUUAGCUGAUUUGUCCAAUGUUCGCUCGUAUAGCUGGGGCUCCGCCGUUCUAGCAGUGUUAUAUCGGAAGCUUUGUCGGACGACAAAGCCUUCUGUUGUAGACAUGGGCGGAUGCCUUACAUUGCUGCUGUCCUGAGCGCUCCAUCGGAUGCCAUUUUUGGCAUCGGUUACUCACCAACCGUAUGUUUAUCCACUAGUGAACAGGUGAUAAAAUAUAGCUUGUCAUUAUUUGUAGUCAUAGUAUAUUGAAUGAUGUUACCAACCCUAAACCCUAUAUUUCUUUUUGUAGGUGAAGUAUUUAUCCGGGUAUUGGGAGGUCGCACACUAUCCCGAUAUACCGACUCAUGAUCAAAUAGCAUGCCGGGAAAGGGGUAAGCUAUUCUAAUAUUAGUCUAUUUACCUUACUCACACCGUGUUAAAUUUAUAUGGAUGCCAUAUAUGGAUGCAGUUUAUAUGGAUGCCAUAUCGUCGCCCGAAAAUUACAGCUGUGAUACCCUCGUCUGCACACGUUCAUUCUGAAAUGUGGUGCACUAAUGCACCAAUUAUAAAUUUCAAUGUAGUCGAGUGGUAUCACGGGGAUCGGGUGCUACGACAGUUUGGUUGCAUCCAAUAUAUAUCCUGGAUCCACCAUGCGAGGUGGGGGCGGUUCACGGCAUGAAUAGGAGAGGAAAACCACAGUUGGAUUGGGGGUUAAGCACUAAAAAUUUAUUGCGCUGUGGAACGAUCGGAUAGUUCGAAGACCUCAGAUGGUUUUGGCAUAUUCAUUGCAACCAUUAUUAGAGUACAUACAAUGGUACUAUAAUUGCGGAAAGCAAUAUAUACUUGGAGGCCAGUCGACUGUAGCCCCCCGCACAUGCAGCUACCUGGGGGAUCGUGAUCCUGAACCAGAUCCCGAGCCGUAGCCCGAGCCAGAUCCCGAGCAGUCACAUUCACAUAGGGAUUCACAAUCCUAUCAUCCGAAUUUGGUGGGCGAUGAGUAUAUUCCGAGCUUCUUAGGGGGUGAAUACGCAUACGAGUUUGAUCUCUUUGGAUCCUACCCGCCGCAGUACGACACUCCCAGCCCGUACCUACAGCAUCAUGGGACUUCUUUAGGUUCAAGUUCAUCGAUGCCGAUUGAGCCACAUGAUUUUUCUUCUAUGUUUACCAUACCCCCUGCGCCAAAUGAGGACGUUGGUCGUCGCCAACACCCAGAACGUGACCGUCGACCUCCGCAUAGGUAUACCCCUAGGACCACACCAUCAAACCCUCAGUUCUAAGGGUUUAUUGCACUUUUUUGUACAUUACAAAGUUUGUACUUAUUGUAUAAAUUUAAUUACUUAAUUUAUUACACUUUUUAUAACUUAAAUUGGAUACAAUUUAAGCAUAAGCAUAAGCUGAAUAAUUUUAAUUAUUCCAAAUGAAUCAUGUUUUUAAUACCUUAAUUUGGAUACAAUUUAAGCAUAAGUAUAAGUUGAAUAAUUUUAAUUAUUCCAAAUGAAUUAUACUUUUUACAACAUUAGGUCAAUUCUGACCCGAUCCUGAUGACUGUCCGACAUGAUAGUUUCGCUGAGGGCAUUUAUUUUGACUAUGACCACUUAACCUGCAUAAUCCACAACGCUUACCGUCGAAUUUCUCCCUAAUGUCCAUUUCAUUAUGGAUUCUGGUUGAUUGCGAACGACCUCUUGGAUUCCUGCGUAGCCCUCUGUCUAGGAUAAACUUGAAAGUCGUUAGAGGCAACUCUCACGUAGACAGGUCAGGCAAGACGGGGAACUCAUUUUCCUAGACACGUAAUGUGCGCUCGAGCGUGUACACAUCAUCGACAUAUUUUUCAACAUUAAGGUUCACUUUAGCACACGCUGCCACGACAUGCGCACAUGGAUAAUGAAGUGUUUCGAACUCCUGCACUCGCACCUUCUGUUCCAGAUAUCAACUCCAUAAGACCUAGGUGGUAUACCAGGUCGACGACCGAUGGUCUCAGUAACUCGAAACGUUUCCAGACGUCGUGAAUAUAUUUCUACAUUCAUGGACCUCGCCAUCCGACGGUUUGCAACCAUUGCAUCCCUGACAUCUUCGACAAACACAUGUCCUGCCUCCAUCUAGUCAACUUGUUGCUGACUCAUUCUUGGCAUCAAGGUAGCCAACCUGUAGAAUAUAGCAGAGAAGACAGAUGCAAUCGGAUGAUGACGUGUUUUUAACAAUACAUCGUUUACCCCCUCCACUAAGUUUGUGGUCAUUUUUCCAUAACGAAAGCCCUCGUCAAAACAUUAAGCCCAUUGCCAACCCAGAAAGAUGUGUUUAUUUGCCCCUCUAUGUCACUCUCAAGUCGAAUCAUGCUUUGGCGGAAAAUAUGUGGCUCUAACUCGUACGCUGUAUAUAGGGGUGAGCAUUCGAUCGAAUCAAAUCGAAUCGAAUCGAAAAUUUUCGAGUUAAUCGAGUUUUCGAAUAUCAUUUUAUCAUCCUAACUUUAUUUGAAGUUUUAUCGAAUCGAAUCGAGUGAGAUGGAGAUCGAAUCGAAUCGAAUUAUUUGUUCGAGUUAAGUUUAAAAAUAAAAUAAAAUUAUUGUUGUUUAUUUUUAUGUAAUUUUUUAAAAAAUAAUUUUCUUUAAAGUUUUUAAACAUAAUCAUACAACAAAAAAUUGAAGUAAAUAAGUGAAUAAAUAAAAGUAACACAACAUCAACCCAAAUAAACAACAUGAUUCCAAAUAAACAACAAAAAUAAUACAAAAAGAUUAUAAUAAAAAACAUACGUAAAAAUCCAAGUAAAUAGCAUGAGUCAAAAUAAACUAAAUUAGAAAGAACAACAAUAAAUCUGCAGCUUCAAAAUGAUGGCUAUAGUUUGAUGAUGAUUGGUGCAUACAAAAAUAAUUGACUGCAAACUUAAGAACUAAAAGAUUCUUAUUUUUUGUGUUGGUUAUGUUUAGUACCAGAGAUGAUAUCAGUUCUUUCUCACCACCCCCACAAGAAAAGCUUAAGAACUAAACAAUAAGUAGUGAAAAUAAAAGGGAAUUCCACUCUCUCCCUGCAAACUUAAAGAAAACUCAAGCCUGCUCUGCUUUGAUAUACCUUAGAAAUCAAAAAAAUGGAAAAACAGUAGCUCUACUGAACUUUGUAACUAGUUGUUAAAACAGUGUUUUAAUGUUCAAAUAGUUAUUUAUAAGCACUUGAUUAGGUAAAAAAUGCCAAAUACAAAGAUGUGAAAUAUGUAUAGAAAUGAUAUUAAAUACACAAUUGAAAACUGCUCCCACUUUCCAUUACGUGUGGCCUAAGUUCUCAAAUUCCACAGAUAAUAUAGAUGGUAUUGCCCUAGGGUUUAUGAAUUAAAAUUGAAAAACAACCUAUCACAAAAUGAAGAUGAAAAUCAUGAACACACACACAUAUACAAACCUCCUAAAUUCAAUCACUAAAAUAGUAAAGUCCAUAGCUAGAAUGAACUAAAGAAAAAAAGAUUAAAAAAGAACCCUCUGAUAUCUACUUAAAAUCCCAUUUUUUCAUGGAAAGAAGUAACAAAUAAUAAUUAUUAAAAAUAACCCUUCAAUAUCUAUUUAAAUCCCAUUUUCCCCCAUGAAACAAAACACCCAAUGAUCAUUCAAUCAAAAGAAAUACGAAAUAAAACAAGAAUUAACACCAAGAGAGAAACAAAAAAAGGGGUAUAGAGGUAUACCUUAUGUGAAGAAUCUCAGAUCCUGAAAGCCUGAAUCCAAAAACAAACAGCAAAAAANNNNNNNNNNNNNNNNNNNNNNNNNNNNNNNNNNNNNNNNNNNNNNNNNNNNNNNNNNNNNNNNNNNNNNNNNNNNNNNNNNNNNNNNNNNNNNNNNNNNAAUAGGUUUAAGUUCAGGAAAGAAGAAACCUGUGGCAAAAGAAAGGUAUUUUGGGUGAUGGGUUUAAAGGAACUGAUUUUGCUUUGUUAAGUAGAGCUACUGUUUUUCCAUUUUCUUAAGAUUAUACUUGGGUUGUUUUCAGGCUUUGGUUUAUUUUUGUAUUGUUAUGGGGAAGAAAAGAUAUUACCAAACUGAACAUGUUAAAGAAAAUACAGUGUAAGGAAAGGAAUAAAAGUUAAUAUACCUUAGAAAUCCAAGGUAGAAGACGUAAAAGCACUGGCGGUGGAGCAGUCAGCCGUGGAGGACCCUGGACUGGAGGUGGAUCGGUGGAGAAGGGUGGACGGAGGUGAAGAUUUUUGAAUUGGGAAAAAAGGGAGGAGGGAGGGCACGAGCUUAGUUAGGGAUUUUGGAAGUGAUUUUGUUUUAAAUGUAGUGUAUUUUAAAAAUAAAAAAUAUAUGUAGUAUAUUUUAAAAAUAAAAAAUAUAGUUUUUAUUCGAAUUAUUCGAAUUAUUCGAGUUAUUCGAAUUCGAAAAUUCAACUCGAUUCGAACUCGAAAUUCGAAAGAAAAAAUUUGAAUUGAUUCGAUUAAUUCGAUUAACUCGAUUCGAAUAAUUCGAAAUUCGAAUUUUUUUCGAUUUUUUCGAAUCGAAUCGAAUUUUGCUCACCCCUAGCUGUAUACGUAUUAAGAAAAAAUAAGUUCCAGUAACUCGAUAACAUAAAACAUUACAACUUAUAUUGAAAAGAUAAGUUUAUCAUUUAGCCAUUGCCACGACUUGUCUCUUCCAGUCUGCAUUCUUAUAAUCUUUAUGGAAGUUGGACGCAAUGUGAUGGAUGCCGUAAAUGGAUCUCUAUGGCACACCUAAACGCCUAAUUGCUACAAUUAAACCUUUCCCUCUAUCGGAGAUGAUGCAAAUGUUAUCGUUGCUAAUAACAUACCUCCACAGGUUAGUGAGGAAGAAUUCCCAAGAUUUCAAGUUCUCCUUAUCUACGAUGGCAAAUGCUAUUGGGAGCAUGUUUCUAUUACCGUCCUGAGCAACUGCAAGAAGUAGGAUCUGUGUAUAUUUUCCAUAUAGCCUGGUCCCAUCCACCUGCACAAGUAGCUUGUAGUAGGGAAAUGCCCGCACACAUGAAUCAAAUGUCUAGAACAUCUGAUGGAAAAUCUUUUUUCCCUACUGUAACUGGUCGUCCGGGCCGUAAUAAGGCUUUGUCUGUAACUCAAUCACAGUCCCCAGUACGUACUCCCGCAUAGUAGCUAUCCAUCCUUGUAGCUCGUUAUACGACGAAUCAUAAUUCCCAUACAAUUGCUCCAAUGCCAUCUGUUUAGCUAUCCACGUCUUUCGAUAUGAUACUCGAUAUUGGAAUCGUGCUUGCAUUUUGGCAAUCAGCACCGAAACUUUAAUGGUCAGCAUGUCCUUCACCAUUGGCAUGAUACACAUAUAGAUAGUUUUCGAAUCAAGUUUUCCAUGAUCUUCUGUCAUACGUGUUGAUGUGCAUGUAUGAGGACCAACAAAUUAAGAAAUUGAAAGGAAUUUUCAAAAUGAAAGAAACUGGGGGAGGUGAGGAAGGAAGAAACAUAGAAAUAAAAAUUGUUUCCAAAGGGGAGGGGCUAACCAGAAAUAGGGGAUCGAAGAAAAUACUUCUUCUUCCCUUUUUUCGGAGGAAAAGGUGGGUCCAAGUAAAAUCGAUGAAACAGAAAAACUACGAGUAACUAGAAAGAAAAAAAAUAAAAUUAAGAGUGAACUCAACUUUCGUUUUAAAGAGACAUACUAUAAAAAUAGACCAGUUUAUGAAACUUUUUAUCUGGAUGAGAAUUAAAAAAAAUUGAAGUUAGAAAUAAAAAAAAGAUAAAUAUUUAUAGUAUGGGAUUAUGUGAAUACAAAAUUUGAAAUUAUUUAAUUUUUCAAGAUUCAUGAUUCUCCGUCUCAACAACAUCGUUUUUAAAAAUUCAUGUAUAAAUUCUCUCUCAAAAUGUGAUAUAACUUAUCACGGCAUCCCGUAUUUAUUAGUAUCUUUAAUUAAUAUUUAAUAUUUAUAAACACUAUUUAAGAAAAAAACCAAAUAAUAAUAAUAAUAAUAAUAAUAGUAAUAAUAAUAAUAAUAAGGGUCUCAAUCAUACCAUUUGUGGAAUGACUGUCUUUUUACUAGUAGACAGUGGCACAUUAAGCCUCUCCCAUCAUUCAUGGCAAUGCACUAACUAGCUUAAAAGCUAAAAAACCAAGAGCAGUCACAUUAUUAAAAUUUCAUUUAAUAAUUUAAUUGAUUUAUUGAGUCACUUAUAAAAAUUAUAUAAUUUUCUUUCAUUUUCAAACUAAAGACUCUUUUAAAUAAAAGAAAUAAUUGAUUUUUUAUUUGAAUAAUGAAAAUUUUUAAAUGAGAAAAAUAUAUCAAUUAUUUGAUUUUAUUGUUCUAGAAAGCAUGUAAAAUAAUUUGUGUUUAACAAUUCAAUUUUUCUUUUUAUAUAAUACUUGAAACUAUCCAUAAUUUCUUCUCAAUCGUAAAUAAGAGGACAAAUGCGCUUAAACUCACGUCCUCCUAUUCUGACAAUAAUACCAGUACCAAAUGGACAAUUCAAUUUAAAGACGAAAAUAAAUUUUAAUAAUUCACGUACUUGAAUAAUUUUUUUUAACAUUUCCAUAUUUAAAAUAUUAUAUAUAUAUAUUAAUCAUGUUAAUUAAUAGUUCAUAUUUUAUGCUAUACUUUAAUUAUUUAUGCAAGGUUUAUAUAGUAUAAUUGUAUCUAUCGAGGUGGAUUCUCGUUAGGGCCUAGAAGUUUCUAAAAAUUUUAUUUAAAUCUAUUAAAAUUUUUGAAGAUUUUCACUAAAAUUUGUUGUUCCUCAUACAUGCACAUCAACACGUAUGACAGAAGAUCAUGGAAAACUUGAUUCGAAAACUAUCUAUACGUGUAUCAUGCCAAUGGUGAAGGACAUGCCGACCAUUAAAGUUUCGGUACAGAUUGCCGAAAUGCAAGCACGAUUCCAGUAUCGAAUAUCAUAUCGAAAGGCGUGGAUAGCUAAACAGAUGACAUUGGAGUAAUUGUAUGGGGAUUAUGAUUCGUCGUAUAAGGAGAUUGUAAUAAGCCCAAUUUACCCGGGCCCUUACAAAACAAAAAAUAAGCAGUCUAAGUUUUUACAGGCCCAAACCCCAACAGCCCACUAACUAAAUUCCAACAGGAACCCUAGCAGCAUACAACCUUCAACCCUAGCCGCCGCACAUCAGCCCCGCACCACCACCCUUUGCGCACGUACGUGUCCCACGUACAUCUCCAGUUGGCCGAAUCUGCGCAACAAACGGCAAAACAGACGCAAAGAACAAGUAAACGAAAGAGAAAAACGCAAAAAAAAGAGAGAAUAACGGAAAUACAACUGCGUUGUGUUAUUUCUUUGAUUUUUCUUCAUCUUUCGACUAUAAAAAGUCGAGGAAAAUCUGUAAAAAGGAGGGGGAUUUCACGAAUCAAAUAAAAAACAGAAAAGAAAUUGAUAUCAAGAAGAGAUUUUAGAUUGAAGAUAGAUAUUUGUUUUUUUUUUCUCUUUUUUUUUGUUUUGACUUUUUUUAAAAAAAACUAGUAAGUAAUAAGAAAAAGAAAGGAAAGGACUUACCGGAGGUCCGUGGUCUUCUCGUUGGCCAAAGAUUGCCGUCCUUGGCGGAGCAGUGGCGAAGGAGCGGCGGCACGGCGACAUAAAGAUGCUAGGGUCAAAACCCUAGCAGAGAGAAAGGGGGCAACGGUUUUUUUGUUGUUUUAGAAAGUGGGCUGUCAAAUGAUUUUUAAAACAGAAAAUUUUGUUUAAAUAAUAAGGCAAUACGGUGUCGUUUCAUUAGGCCCCCUAGACGCCCAAAACGGCGUCGUUUUGGGGGCCAACCCAUGCACCGACCCGAUCUGGUCCCAAAUCCGCGUGUUUUGUAGCAUGGGGGAAUUUGCGCAAUUGGUCCCCCUAUUUUUGCAGUGUGUUUAAAUUAAAUUUCUGAUUUCUUUUAAAUUUCACUGCACAUUCUAUUUUUACUUCAAAUCAGUCCCUAUUACUGUGCAGCGUUUUAGGGAGGCGGAUUAUUUCUCUUUUGGUCCUCCACCCUUGCGCGCGCAUUCAAUGUGAUCCUGUUUUCAAAUUUACUUCGAAUUUAGUUUUUUUUAAGUUCAAUUUAACCCUUUUAUAAACUAUUUUAUUCAUUUUUUAUAAUUAUGUUAUACUAUGACAUUAUUAUUAUUAUUAUUAUUAUUAUUAUUAUUAUUAUUAUUAUUAUAUACGCUUGUUUUAAAAUAAUACAUAUACAUUUUUUUUAAAAAGCUUUUAAUACAUACAUAUAUUUUUGUAUAUACAAACAUUUUUUUUUACUUUUUUAAAUAUGAAUAUACGUAUUUUUUAUAUUAUCCUUCAUAGAUUUUUUUACAAACGUAUGUAUAUAUGUAUACCUACAUAUUUUAAUACAUAUUUUAAUACAUUCAUUUUCUAUAGUAUAAAUAUAUAUGUUUUUUGUUUUAAAUUAUUAUAAACAUUUUUAUUAUUUUAUAUAUGCUCCAUUAUUUUAUAUACAUAUUGUACAUAUUUUUAUAUUUUUACUUUAUUUACACAAUUCUCAUAUACAUAUAUGCAUGCAUUUUUAGAAAUUAUUAUAAGUUUUUAUGUAUUUCAUUCCCUUUUUAUAUGUAUACUUAUAUAUGUGUUUUAUAUAUGCAUUAACAUUUUAGCAUGUUUUUAAAGAAAAUAUAUUUUGGUUUCGUCAAAGCAUUAAAAUCGUUUUAUUUUUCUUAAUUUUUUUUAAAUAUUUGGCAAUCGUGAUUCUCGAGAAAGAUCGUGUCCUAACUUACUGGAUUGCGAUUAUUUUUUUUGAUGAAUUUAGAAAACCAAGUAUUUAUUUUGCAAUAAAUUCAUGAAAUUUUCAAAUAAAAGCUUAUUCUCAAGAAUCCAAAAAUGUCGGGUCCUAACUUACUGGUCAUGACAUUCUGGCAUCUCGAAAUAAGAAUUUUCAAAAGCAAAAGGCAAUAUUCUGGUAUUUUGAAGAUUUAAAAAUAUUGUGCCCUAACUCAUUGGGUGUGGUGUUUUAUUUCUUUGAAAUAAGAAUGUCUUAUUAUUUUGAUUCAUUCAUGAGAUAAAAAGUUUCCUUUUAAAAUCUUUUCAAUUUUUCAACACCAAGACAUUAAAGAAUCAAUUUGGUACCAAUUUUGGGGAGUUACGAGGGUGCUAAUCCUUCCUCAUGCGUAACUGACUCCCGGACUCAUUUUCUUAAAUUUCGUAGACCAGAAUCAUUUUAAGGUGAGCCGAUCACACCUUAAUAAAGGAUCGAUGGCGUCUCCAGUUUUUGUUUUUUUUAAGUCGACAACUAAAAUUUUUGUUUACAAAAAAUGGUUUCGACAGCUUGGCGACUCCGCUGGGGACACUAGAGAGUCGAGCUAGAAAUUGAUUCAUUUUUGUCUUGUGAUCAAAAAAUUAAAUUUGGGUUUUAAAAUCAUGAUUUCCCUUCGCAUUCAUUGAUUUUCAUCAUGAUAUGUUUGUUCGAUUGGCCUAAGUCUGUUCGUAUUUGCAUUUUGCAUUGCAUAAGUUGGUCAAAUUUACCCUCUAAGUGGGAGCGAGAAACUAGUCCUUCGUGAGGUUUUCACCUCCGUGCAGGGUAGUGGACCGCUUCCGGGAUACAUCUGUACCUAUGUCUUCGUGAGAUUUUCAUCUCCAUGCAGCCAUAGGGAAAUGUAUCCCCCUGAACUGAACUCGAUUCAUAUGAGCCUAUAAUGGGCGAGGAUCGAGGAAUCUGCUGGUUCGGGUACCCUUACUCUAGAAACUAAACCUCAUAUAGUGAGCUUUAGGAACUUGCCCUAGGUAGAACUAUUCCAAAACCCUAGUGGAUUCUGAAAUAAGUGUUCUUGCUAUUUCAUGUUUGUAUUGGAUUAUAUCUUUAUGUGUGAUACUAACUUGGGUUUGUUUUUGUUUUGACUGCAUGGCAUUUCAUUAUAGAAAAGAGAUGUUGAUUCACGUUUGGUUGUUAAUAGAGAACUUGCCAUGAAAAACGGGUUUCUUGAUAAGGUGGAAGAUAAUAUGGUUGUUCGAGUAUAGUCUAAGAAAAUGUGACACGAAAGGUAAUAGCCUAACAAGAGGAGUAUACGACUUUGCUGCAUGACCUGAGGAUUCAAAUUGUCAAAGUUUAUUCAAAAGUCAUCAAAGGUCCUAAUCUUUUAAAGAAGCUAAUGAACGUGAGUGAGCAAGGAGUUACGACCUAGAUCAAACAAAAAGGAGCUCAAAUUCGCGAGAUGCAUCUUAAAAUCCGAAUGAUCGAUGACUUCUCUUGGAGUACGAGGGUGAAGCCGUAUAGAUAUAGCCGCUUUAUGUAAAGAGAUUUGUUUUCUAGUGAAGUUUUCUAGUAAAGAAUUGAACAUGAAUCAACGUCUCUUUUCGCAUUCAUUUCAUGCAUUUGCAUUACAUUACAUCAUAUGCAUCAAACACCUCUAAAUGAUCCUAAUUAAUUAAAAUCACUGCUCAGUUAACCUGGAAACCAACCAACCAAUCAAACACCAUUAUGGCACUCGAGCAAAGAUUAAAGACAUGGAUCAGAGAUUGGAAAAGCUCGAACAGCACCAGAAAGAAAUGCAAGACCAACUCCAGUUACAAGUGCAGGAGCGGUUAGACAAGAUGCAACAGGAUAUGUCAGAGAAGAUACAGGAAUCCCAAAAUAAUAUGAUGGCAAAGUUAACCCAACUGUUGAAUGGAGGAGGUGAUAAGGGAAAGGGUCCCAUGGCUGAUGUCGAAGAGGGAAAAGAGGAUGAAUCACUCUAUCCUCCAGGCUUUACUCCUUCACAUGUGCGAAGUCAAGCUGAAUAUCUGCACAAAUCUACUGUCACAAUCAGGCCUCAGCAGUUUCGGGCUAGUGUUUCAAACUUCUAAGCUGGAUCGGGUUUUAAUCCCGGAAAUAACCCUAUUAACUCUGCCAUUCCUGACUUUGAUGAAGUGGCUAAAAAAGAAAGAAUAAAGGAAGAGUUACCAAAGCAGUUAGAAGAAAGGUGCAAAUGGCUCGAGGAGAAAUUAAAGGUGAUGGAGGUCACUGAAAGUUAUCGAGGAAUUGAUGCUAAAUAGCUGAGUUUAGUUCCGAAUUUGGUACUCCCUCAGGGUUUUUUACCCAAAUAGGAUAGAAAAAAAAUACUGAAAUGGGAUGUCAGAAAAAAAAUUUACCAANNNNNNNNNNNNNNNNNNNNNNNNNNNNNNNNNNNNNNNNNNNNNNNNNNNNNNNNNNNNNNNNNNNNNNNNNNNNNNNNNNNNNNNNNNNNNNNNNNNNUAUUGUAAUAUUGUAAUUUUGUAUGAAUAUUAUAAUUUUUUAUGAAUAUUGUAAUGUUGUAUGAAUAUUGUAAUAUUAUAAUUUUGUAUGAAUAUUGCAAUUUUUUUGUAUGAAUAUUGUAAUAUUGUAAUUUUGUAUGAAUAUUAUAAUGUGGGGAUAUAUUGUAAUAUUGUAAUUUUUUGUAUGAAUAUUGUAAUUAUUUUAUAAUUAAUUUGUUAGUAAUUUGGGAAAAAUUCACAAUAUUUUGUUCACCAUUGGCGCCUCCCAAAUAGGCACCACCAUUGGCGCCUCCCAAAUAGGCACCACCAUUGGCGCCUUCCAGAUAGGCGCCAAUACUAUGUAUUAUACGGGUUAUAUACUAACCCGGAAAAGUAUAAAUUAUAUUUUAAUCAAAAAAAUUAUUAUUAUUAUUUUAUUCAUUGGCGCCUACCAAAUAGGCUCCAAUGAAAAAGUAACCUAUUUUGGUAAAAAAAUUUUCUGACAUACUAUUUCACUAAAUUUUUUUUUCUAUCCUAAUUAGGUAAAAAACCCAACUCCCUCAUAAGUUUAAGAUGCCAGAAUUCGAGAAGUACAAUGGGACGACUUGCCCAGAGGCUCAUAUCACCAUGUUCUGCAGGCGAAUGGCUGGAUACAUUAACAAUGACCAGCUAUUAAUACACUGUUUCCAAGAUAGCCUAGCAGGGGCAGCAUCUAAGUGGUACAAUCAGCUGAGCCGUACCACAAUUGGUUCAUGAAGGGACUUGGCACAAGCAUUCAUGAAACAGUAUAGUCAUGUGACAGACAUAGCUCCUGAUAGAAUUACCCUUCAAAACAUGGAGAAGAAGUCGAGCGAAAGCUUUAGGCAGUACACACAAAGUUGGAGGGAAGUCGUAGUCCAAGUUCAACCACCGCUCUUAGAGAAAGAAAUGACGAUGCUUUUUAUAAAUACAUUGAAAGCCCCGUUCAUCACACAUAUGUUAGGAAGUGCCACAAAAAGCUUUUCUGACAUAGUCAUGAAUGGUGAAAUGAUUGAAAGCGUCAUAAGGAGCGGGAAAAUUGAUGCAGAGGAGAGUAACAAGAGGUCAAUCUCAAGGAAAGAGAAAAUGAGGUGAACAACACGAGUUACUCUAAACCAGUUAUUGUGAGUCAGCCAAGAAAGGUGGCUACUAACCAACAAAGUUUAUUAAGACAAUAAUCUAGAGUGAAACCAGGUACUGAGAAGCUCCAAUUCACACCAAUUCCGAUGUCAUAUAAGGAUCUGUAUCAAAGCUUGUUUGAUGCGCAUGUUGUUGCUCCUCAUUACUUAAAACCUCCACAACCUCCGUAUCCUAAGUGGUAUGAUGCGAACGCGCAAUGUGACUACCACGCGAGAAUUAUGGGGAACUCAAUAGAGAAUUGCAUUACCUUCAAAAAGCUAGUUGAAAAAUUCAUCAACAUGGGUAUUGUCAAGUUGGGUGACUCAUCAACUGCAGAAAAUCCUUUACCCAAUCAUGAUUGAGGAUGGAGGGACUGCAAUGUAUGAAGAGGUGGUGAGGUUUUCAUAUCGAUGCCAUAUAUGCAGCCACAAAUAAAAAGGUCCUUGUUAGAUAUUCGCCUGGGAGGUGUUAUAAGUAAUGGGACUGCAGAGGAAACCCCUAUAUUAUUUAGAGUUUGUUAGAGUAAUGUUCAGAACACACUUGUUGCUUUUAGCCUAGAAGCAAUAAGAACUUCUUUGUGAAAUAGGCUCAUGUCUGAACAUUAUUAUUUUAAUAAAAUACAUCAGUGCAAUCAUCUUUGAGCAAAUGUUCUUUCAUUCUUUACGAUUCUUUCAUUCUUUUGGAUUUUCUGCCAAACUAUUCUUUCAUUCAUUCAUAAUCAUAUUAUCUAUAAAUCCAUACAUUCUUUGUGUAUUCUUUAACACCUACAAUAGGUCCCUGGAUAUCAAUGACAUGAGUGACGCUGCUACAGACUCAAAAUCUCCUUUUUGAGUGAGCCAUGUGUUUAGAGAGAUCUCACAACUUUGAAGAGGACAUGGAUUGUAGCUUAUCUCCAGACUUGAUGAGGAUGGUAAAAUAAGAGGAUAGACAAAUCCAACCUCACAAAGAAUCAUUAAAAGUUGUGAGCUUGGUAUAGAUUGGAAUUGACAUGACCGAAAAAACAAAGCAAUACGUUGUUGGGUUACUUCAAGCAUUCAAAGAUGCCUUCGCAUGGUCAUACUAGGAUGUGCCCGGUUUAAGUGUUGUCACUGCAAUCUAAACAACAGCACGAUACCAAAAUUUUACAGUAUGGUCAAGGUGAAUAUCAUGAAUGGUGCAAUGAAAACUCUACCAGGGCAAUGCCACUUUUUUCAGUUUAUCACAUUUUUUUCAUUGAAGUUGAAAUUCUUUCUCUUCGAGUUUUGGCUAAGCUGAAGUAGGAUGAAGAUCCAAUCCCGAUACAAUUAGUUGAACCUAGUUGAAGAAAAAGGCUAGAAACUAUUCAUCAGGGGCAGAUGUACCAAGAAAUGAAUGAUGCGAGCCUAUAGCAAAAGGUUUGUCCCAGAGAAUUCCACGAUGGCGACCUAAUGCUGAAGAAGAUCCUCACUCUACAAAAAAUAUAACGGAUGCCAAAUUGGGAAGAACCUUAUGUUAUAGAGAAGGUCAUUUCCAGAGGAGCUUUGAUUUUGAGGGAGAUGGAUGAUAAACCUGCAAAGUCCUGUAAACUCAGGUUCAGUCAGGAAAUACUCAGCUUAAAGAAUGAGAUGACCAAGGUAAAAACCCGUAAAUGGCACUUUGAGUUGUAAAAAAUGACGAGAUGGAAAAUGAAAAAGUGAAAAUGAAAUUUGAAAAUGGAAAAGUAAAAUGGAGAGGCUAAGGUGAAAAUCCGCAAAGGGCGCCUUAGACCAAAGGGGAUUUGAGUUGAAAACCCGAAAAGGGCGGCUCAAAUAUUGAUCAGAAUGUGGCAUGAGAUUAUCAGAGUAGCUCAAAUACUAAUCAGCAUGGGGCAUGCAGUGGUCUUGCUAUACCUGAAUCAGCAGGAAAGGGUAGGCGACAUCUUGGGGCAUCAACAAAGUACUGUAGAUCUCCUAAACACAUGUUAAACUCAGAAUGGUCUUCAGAAAGUUUGUACAGAGAAGUUCAAGCUGAGAUAUCUGGGGCGCCUAAUCCUUAUACUCUUUCUUGUUAUUCUUGGAACACUUCAUUCAUUUCCAAGAUAUGCAUUCCUAAAUCAAUUUCUUUAUUAUCCAUCUUUACUAUCUUUGAUAUUUUAUUCAUUUCGAGCUAUGCUCAGAACCAACUUUCUUCUUAUCCAUGAUCUUUUUGCAAGUAUGUUGCAUUAGAAUAAUGAUUAAUAGACUAAUAAAAUUUUCACAAGGGAAGUUAUGCUUAUUACUCUAGAAUUUUUUAAAUAAUAUAGGAACCUCAAACAGGACUAUUGUUUAGAACGCACCAGGUUGGAAAUCCGAUAAAGAAGAGUCUAAAUUAAGACUAUCCCUUUGAAUUUUCUUGUCUAAAGUAUUAAUUAAACAAAAUGGCAAGAUGUCGUGUUGGUGUCAAAGCUUCAAUGAACAAGCAAGCAAUGAUCACCGAAUAAUAAGAAGAAGUUGUUCUUGGACAAGAUUUAUUCAUUUGUGUAUGAGCAUUUCGUACAACACCUUGGGAAUGGUGUAAGAGACCAAAAAGUUUCACAUCCUGUAUCCUUGAAUUGUGAUAACAAAGGAUUGAGAAAAGGCCAAAUCUUUUACUCUUGGGUUACAACGGGAAAAGAUGAUACAAAUUUUGCAUCCCAGUGGAUCAAACUUGGAGGUUUACAGUGGGGGCAAUCUGGUCAAGUGCUUAUUGGGAUCGCCAGUUGAGCAUAAAGGCGCUAUAGUACAUUAAGUGAUAAGACCUUAAUAAACUUGGAGUAAUGAUAACUCAGGCGUUAAAAUAUCAUUUUCAUGACAUUCUACAUUCAUUCAAAUGUCAUUCAUACAUGUCUAGUUAGGAGCAUUUGAUUCAUUUUGAUCAUGCCAUCCUAAUCAUUAGGCAUAAUUAGGUUCAUUAUACAGGUUCUGUUCUCCAGAGAACAGAUCAGCGAAAAUAGCAGAUCUUGCCUUCCUGCAUUGACAGCGAAGCAGAUCGAAGAUACCAGCCUUGCCUCCCUCGAUUGCAGUGGAGCAGGUUGAUGGUGGAUUUUACCUCCCUGAGGUUACAGUGGAGUACAUUGAAACCAGUAAUUCUAUCUCCCUGGGCAAUAGUGGAAUAGAUCAAAGAUUACAGGUCUUAUCUCCCUAAGCAGUAGUGGAGCAGAUCAAAGAUGGUGGAUUUUACCUCCCUGAGGUUACAAUGGAGUACAUUGAAACCAGUAAUUCUAUCUCCCUGGGCAGCAGUGGAAUAGAUCGAAGAUUACAGGUCUUAUCUCCCUAAGCAGUAGUGGAGCAGAUCAAAGAUGGUGGAUUUUACCUCCCUGAGGUUAUAGUGGAGUACAUUGAAACCAGUAAUUCUAUCUCUCUGGGCAACAGUGGAAUAGAUUGAAGAUUACAGAUCUUAUCUCCCUAAGCAAUAGUGGAGCAGAUCAAAGCUGGCAAAAUCUACCUCCCUGAGGUUGCAGUGGAGUAUAUUGAAGCCAGUAAUUCUAUCUCCCUGGUCGGCGGUGGAAUCAAUUGAAGAAAUCAGAUCUUGUCUUCAUGUAUUGGCGUGAAGUAGAUCAAAGAUAGCAGAUCUUGUCUCCCCAUACUAGUGGCAAAGUAGAUCGAAGAAAGUAGAUCUUGUCUUCAUGUAUUACCGUGAAGUAGAUCGAAGAUAGCAGAUCUUAUCUUCCUAUACUGGUGGCGAAGUAGAUCGAAGAAAGCAGAUCUUGUCUUCAUGCACUGGCGUGAAGUAGAUCAAAGAUAGCAGAUUUUGUCUUCCCAUACUGGUGGCGAAGUAGAUUGAAGAAAGCAGAUCUUGUCUUCAUGUAUUGGCGUGAAGUAGAUCAAAGAAAGCAGAUCUUGUCUUCAUGUACUAGCGUGAAGUAGAUCAAAGAAAGCAGAUCUUGUCUUCAUGUACUGGCGUGAAGUAGAUCAAAGAUAGCAGAUCUUGUCUUCCCAUACUGGUGGCGAAGUAGAUCGAAGAAAGCAGAUCUUGUCUUCAUGUACUGGCGUGAAGUAGAUCAAAGAUAGCAGAUCUUGUCUUCCCAUACUAGUGGCGAAGUAGAUUGAAGAAAGCAGAUCUUGUCUUCAUGUAUUGGCGUGAAGUAGAUCAAAGAUAGCAGAUCUUGUCUUCCCAUACUGGUGGCGAAGUAGAUCGAAGAAAGCAGAUCUUGUCUUCCCAUACUGGUGGCGAAGUAGAUCGAAGAUACAAGUCUUAUCUCCCUGAAGUUGCAGUGGAGUAGACAGAAGAAAAUAAUCCUAUCUCCCUGAAGUUGCAGUGGAGCGGAUUAAAACCAUAGAUCUUAUCUCCCUGAAGUUACAGUGGAGUAGACAGAAGAAAAUAAUCCUAUCUCCCUGAAGUUGCAGUGGAGCAGAUUAAAACCAUAGAUCUUAUCUCCCUGAGUUGCAGUGGAGUAGACAGAAGAAAAUAAUCCUAUCUCCCUGAAGUUGCAGUGGAACAGAUUAAAACCACAGAUCUUAUCUCUCUGAAGUUGCAGUAGAGCAGAUCGCAUCAGAUUUAUCUUUAAGUUGUAGCAGAACAAGUUGAAGCUCUAAGUCUUAUCUCCCUGAAGUUGUAGUGGAGCAGAUUAAAGAUAGCAAAUUUUGUUCUUUUGAGAAGCUACAACGUAUGAAUUCUAUCUCCCCGAUAUUGCAGUAGAGUAGAUUGAAGCACCAGUUCCUAUACCUCUGAAGAUGCAGCAGGAAGGAUUGAGGCUACUUGAAAAAGAAAAGCACCGAAGAAGCCGAGGCUUAGUAAGACUGGGUACAAUUGGGCUUUUCAGUCUUUGCUCUGUUCUCGUUACACGACAACAAGCAAAAAGGGGCAACUGUAAUAAGCCAAAUUUACCCGGGCCCUUACAAAACAAAAAAUAAGCAGUCCAAGUUUUUACAGGCCCAAACCCCAACAGCCCACUAACUAAAUUCCAACAGCAACCCUAGCAGCAUACAACCUUCAACCCUACCCGCCGCACAUCAGCCCCGCACCACCACCCUUUGCGCACGUACGUGUCCCACGUACAUCUCCAGUUGGCCGAAUCUGCGCAGCAAACGGCAAAACAGACGCAAAGAACAAGUAAACGGAAGAGAAAAACACAAAAAAAAAGAGAGAAUAACAAAAAUACAACUGUGUUGUGUUAUUUCUUUGAUUUUUCUUCAUCUUUCGACUAUAAAAAGUCGAGGAAAAUUUGUAAAAAGGAGGGGGAUUUCACGAAUCAAAUAAAAAACAGAAAAGAAAUUGAUAUCAAGAAGAGAUUUUAGAUUGAAGGUAGAUAUUUGUUUUUUUUUUCUCUUUUUUUGUUUUGACUUUUUUUAAAAAAAAUAGUAAGUAAUAAGAAAAAGAAAGGAAAGGGCUUACCGGAGGUCCGUGGUCUUCUCAUUGGCCAAAGAUCGCCGUCCUUGGCGGAGCAGUGGCGAAGGAGCGGCAGCACGACGACAUAAAGAUGCUAGGGUCAAAACCCUAGCAGAGCAAAAGGGGGCAACAGUUUUUUUUUUUUGUUGUUUUAGAAAGUGGGCUGUCAAAUGAUUUUUAAAACAGAAAAUUUUGUUUAAAUAAUAAGGCAAUACGGCGCCAUUUCAUUAGGCCCCCUGGACGCCCAAAACGGCGUCGUUUUGGGGGCCAACCCGUGCACCGACCCGAUCUGGUCCCAAAUCCGCGUGUUUUGUAGCAUGGGGGAAUUUGCGCAAUUGGUCCCCCUAUUUUUGCAGUGUGUUUAAAUUAAAUUUCUGAUUUCUUUUAAAUUUCACUGCACAUUCUAUUUUUACUUUAAAUCAGUCCCUAUUACUGUGCAGCGUUUUAGGGAGGCGGAUUAUUUCUCUUUUGGUCCUCCACCCUUGCGCGCGCAUUCAAUGUGAUCCUGUUUUCAAAUUUACUUCGAAUUUAGUUUUUUUUAAGUUCAAUUUAACCCUUUUAUUAACUAUUUUAUUCAUUUUUUUUAUAAUUAUGUUAUAUUAUUAUUAUUAUUAUUAUUAUUAUUAUUAUUAUUAUUAUCAUCAUCAUCAUUAUUAUUAUUAUUCCUACUAUAUAUAUAUACGCAUGUUUUAAAAUAAUACAUAUACAUACAUUUUUUUUAAAAAGCUUUUAAUACAUACAUAUAUUUUUGCAUAUACAAACAUUUUUUUUUACUUUUGUAAAUAUGAAUAUACGUAUUUUUUAUAUUAUCCUUCAUAGAUUUUUUUACAAACGUAUGUAUAUAUGUAUACCUACAUAUUUUAAUACAUAUUUUAAUACAUUCAUUUUCUAUAGUAUAAAUAUAUAUGUUUUUUGUUUUAAAUUAUUAUAAACAUUUUAUUAUUUUAUAUAUGCUCCAUUAUUUUAUAUACAUAUUGCACAUAUUUUUUUUAUAUUUUUACUUUAUUUACACAAUUCUCAUAUACAUAUAUACAUGCAUUUUUAGAAAUUAUUAUAAGUUUUUAUGUAUUUCAUUCCCUUUUUAUAUGUAUACUUAUAUAUGUGUUUUAUAUAUGCAUUAACAUUUUAUCAUAUUUUUAAAGAAAAUAUAUUUUGGUUUCGUCAAAGCAUUAAAAUCGUUUUAUUUUUUUAAAAUUUUUUUUAAAUAUUUGGCAAUUAUGAUUCUCGAGAAAGAUCGUGUCCUAACUUACUGGAUUGCGAUUAUUUUUUUUGAUGAAUUUAGAAAACCAAGUAUUUAUUUUGCAAUAAAUUCAUGAAAUUUUCAAAUAAAAGCUUAUUCUCAAGAAUCUAAAAAUGUCGGGUCCUAACUUACUGGUCAUGACAUUUUGGCAUCUCGAAAUAAGAAUUUUCAAAAGCAAAAGGCAAUAUUCUGGUAUUUUGAAGAUUUAAAAAUAUUGUGCCCUAACUCACUGGGUGUGGUGUUUUAUUUCUUUGAAAUAAGAAUGUCUUAUUAUUUUGAUUCAUUCAUGAGAUAAAAAGUUUCCUUUUAAAAUCUUUUCAAUUUUUCAACACCAAGACAUUAACGAAUCAAUUUGGUACCGAUUUUGGGGCGUUACGAGGGUGCUAAUCCUUCCUCGUGCGUAACUGACUCCCGGACUCAUUUUCUCAAAUUUUGUAGACCAAAAUCAUUUUAAGGUGAGCCGAUCACACCUUAAUAAAGGAUCGGUGGUGACUCCAAUUUUUGUUUUUUUUUAAGUCGACAACUAAAAUUUUUGUUUACAAAAAAUGGUUUCGACAGAGCUACAAGGAUGGAUAGCUGCUAUGCGGGAGUACGUACCGUGGACUGUGAUUGAGUUAUAGACAAAACCUUAUUACGGCCUGGACGACCAGUUACAGCCAGGAAAAAGGAUUUUCCAUCGGAUGUUCUGGACGUUUGAUCCAUCUAGAGCCAAACACAUAUUUUCGACAAUGGUUGGGUACAAUAGAGCCGUGGCAAUGUGCUCAAAGUUUUGACGAGGGCUUUCGUUAUGGACAAAUGACCACAAACUUAAUGGAGGGGGUAAAUGCUGUAUUGUUGAAAACAUGUUAUCUUCCAAUUGCAUCUGUCUUCUCUACUACAUUCUACAGGUUGGCUACCUUGAUACCAAGAAUGAGUCAGCAACAAGUCGACCAGAUGGAGGCGGGACACGUGUUUGUCGAAGAUGUCAGGGAUGUAAUCAAACCGUCGGAUGGCGAUGUCCAUGAAUGUAGAAAUAUAUUCACGACGUCUGGAAACAUUUUGAGUUACUGAGACCAUCGGUCGUCGACCUAGUAUACCACCUACGUCUUAUGGAGUUGAUCUCCGAAAUAGACGGUACGAGUGUAGGAGGUUCAAAACACUUCAUUAACUAUGUGCGCAUGUCGUGGCAGCGUGUGCUAAAGUGAACCUUAAUGUUGAACAAUAUGUCGAUGAUGUGUACACGCUCGAGCGCACAUUGCGUAUCUGGGAAAAUGAGUUCCCUAUCCUACCUGACCUGUCUACGUGAGAUGUGCCUCCGAAGACUUUUGAGCUUUUCCCAGACAAAGGGCUACGCAAUAAUUCAAGAGGUCGUCAGCAAUCAACUAGAAUCCGUAAUGAAAUGGACAUUAGGGAGAAAUUCGACGGUAAGUAUUGUGGAUUAUGCAGGUUAAGUGGUCAUAGUCGGAAUAAAUGCCCUCAGCGAAACUAUCAUGUCUGACAGUCAUCAGGAUCGGGUCGAAAUUGACCUAAUGCUGUCAAAUUGUUAUGUGUAAUGUUGUAAAAAGUAUAAUUCAUUUGGAAUAAUUAAAAUUAUUCAGCUUAUGCUUAUGCUUAAAUUGCAUCCAAAUUAAGGUAUUAAAAACAUGAUUCAUUUGGAAUAAUUAAAAUUAUUCUGCUUAUGCUUAUGCUUAAAUUGUAUCCAAAUUAAGGUAUUAAAAACAUGAUUCAUUUGGAAUAAUUAAAAUUAUUCAGCUUAUGCUUAUGCUUAAAUUGUAUCCAAAUUAAGGUAUUAAAAACAUGAUUCAUUUGGAAUAAUUAAAAUUAUUCUGCUUAUGCUUAUGCUUAAAUUGUAUCCAAAUUAAGGUAUUAAAAACAUGAUUCAUUUGGAAUAAUUAAAAUUAUUCAGCUUAUGCUUAUGCUUAAGUUGUAUCCAAAUUAAGGUAUUAAAAACAUGAUUCAUUUGGAAUAAUUAAAAUUGUAUCCAAUUUAAGUUAUAAAAGGUGCAACAAAUUAAGUAAUUAAAUUUAUACAAUAAGUACAAACUUUGUAAUGUACAAAAAUAUGCAAUAAACCCCUAAAAAUGAUGGUUCGAUGGUGUGGUCCUAGGGGUAUACCUAUGCGGAGGUCGACGGUCACGUUCUGGGUGUUGGCGACGACCAACUUCCUUAUUUGGCGCAGGUGGGGGUGUGGUAAACAUAGAGGAAAAAAUCAUGUGACUCAAUCGGCAUCAUGAACUUGAACCUGAAGGGGUCCCAUGAUGCUGUAGGUACGAGCCGAGAGUGUCGUACUGCGGCGGGUAUGAUCCAAAGAGAUCAAACUCGUUUGCGUAUUCGCCCGCUGAGAAGCUUGGAAUAUAGUCAUCGCCUGCCAAAUCCGAAUGAUAGGAUUAUGAAUCCCAUGUGAAUGUAACUGCUUAGGAUCUAGCUCAGGCUCCGGGUCGGGUUUCGGCUUGGGCUCUGGUUCGGGAUCAUGAUCUGUUGCAGGCUCUACCUCUAUCGGGGUCGCUGGGUACAAUCCCCCAGAUAGCUGCAUGUGCGGGGGGAAUACAGUCGACUGGCCUCCAAGUAUAUAUGGUUUUCCGCAACUAUAGUACCAUUGUAUGUACUCUAAUGAUGGUUGCAAUGAUUAUGUCAUAACCAUCUGAGGUUUGCGACCCAUCUGAUCGUUCCAUAGCGUAACAAAUUUUCGAUGCUUAACCCGCUAAUCCAACUACAGUUUUCCCCUCCUAUUCAUGCCGUGAACCGCCCCCACUUCGCGUGGUGGAUCCGGGAUAUAUUGGAUGUAACCAAACUGUCUGCACCCGAUCCCCGUGAUACCACUCGACUACAUUGAAAUUUAUAAUUGGUGCGUUAGUGCACCACAUUUCAAAAUGAACAUAUGCAGACGAAGGUAUCACAGCUAUAAUUUUCAGGCGACGAUAUGGCAUCCAUAUAAACUGCAUGAUUAAUAACAUGGUUAUAAUUUAACACGGUGUGAGUAAGAUAUAGAAAGUAAAUGAACUAAUAUUAGAAUAGCUUACCCCUUAUCCGGCAUGUUGUUCGAUCAUGAGUCAGUAUAUUGGGACAGUGUACGACCUCUCGAUACCCGGAUAAAUACUCCACCUACAAAAAGAAAUAUAGGGUUUAUGGUUGGUAACAUCAGUCAAUAUACUAUGACUACAAAUAAUGACAAGUUAUAUUUUAUCACCUGUUCACUAGUGGAUAAACAUACGGUUGGUGAGUAGCCGAUGCCAAAAAUAACAUCCGAUAGAGCGCCCAGGACUACAGCAAUGUAAGGCAUCUGCCCAUGUCUACAACAGAAGGUUUUGUCGUCCGAUAAAGCUCCCGAUAUAACACUGCUAGAAUGGCGAAGCCCCAGCUAUAGGAGCGGACAUUGGACAAAUCAGCUAAUAGGGGCAAGUACAUCAUAUGCACAUUGUUGUUGUUUGCAACGGGCACCAGUACUCUCCCUAGGAUAUGUAUGAUGUACGCUUGAGCAGCGCACAUCAAUUCACCUUCAGUGGCAUUUGCUGAUAACUGUCCAAAUUUGGCUUUCAGCCAUGUAAAUUUCAAGCUCGUAAAAUUUUUCUCAUCGUCAUUUGGCGAGUCUUCUAGUAGCUGAUUACAUAGUGCAGCCGGAUCAGUAAAUGAACUUACUCCCGUUAUAGGACUUGCGUCGAUUGGGAGCUCAAGCUACAGGGCAACAUCCUUUAAAGUCACCAUGCACUCCCCACACGAAAAAUGAAAAGUGUGGGUCUCUGGGCGCCACCGCUUCACUAGCGCAGAUAAUAAAUCAUACCGCAAGUCGAACGUCUGGAUCAAUACUGCUGACCCAAAUCUGACUUGCUCCAAGUAUGGCAUCAAUCGUGAAUUCGGGGGAUGCUUUAAACCAUUCACCCGGCCCCUUAUUACUCAGUACGAGUCCUGAUAGUGUUAAAUUACAGAAAAAAAUUAGGAUAACAUGAUUUAUUUCUAUAUAUUACGUAUAUCCUUUUUUAAUAGAACCCGUGAUUAACAAAUAAUAAUAUAUUACCAUCUCAUUAGCCGCAUCAGAUAUGUGUGUAUCCCUACUAAUCAAUGAAGCCAUUGCGAUGCCUGCAACUUCAAAAAAAAUUUAGUAAAAAACUCUUAUUUCGGCCCUGUGUUCGUAUUUUUUUCUGAAUUUUAUUACUUUAAAAAUUAUCAUAUUUUCUAAUUUUAUUAUUUUACAUUAUUUUAGUACAUUAUGUUUGAAAUUUAAAUAAAUUUAGUGUGUUUUUUAAAUAAAUUUAAAAAAAACCCUUAUUUGGUCAUUUGCUCGUAUUUUUUUCUCGAAUUUUUUUACUUUCAAUAAAAAUAUAUUAUUUUGGUAUUUUAUUAUUUAACUUUAUCUUAGUACAGUAUGUUUUAAAUGUAUUAAUUAAUUCUGUUUUUUUUAAAUUUAGUAAAAAAACCCUUAUUUCGGCCCUUUCUUAGUAUUUUUUACUUUAAAAAAAAUCAUAUUUUCUAAUUUUAUUAUUUUACAUUAUUUUAGUACAUUAUGCUUGAAAUUUAAAUAAAUUUAGUGUGUUUUUUAAAUAAAUUAAAAAAACCCUUAUUUCGGCCCUUUGCUUGUAUUUUUUCCCGAUUUUUAUUACUUUCAAUAAAAAUAUAUUAUUUUUGUAUUUUAUUAUUUUACUUUAUCUUAGUACAUUAUGCUUGAAAUGUAUUAAUUAUUUCUGUUUUUUUUUAAUUUAGUAAAAAACCCUUAUUUCGGCCCUUAGUUCGUAUUUUUUUCCCAAAUUUUAUUACUUUAAAAAAUAUCAUAUUUUGUAAUUUUAUUAUUUUACAUUAUUUUAGUACAUUAUGUUUGAAAUUUAAAUAAAUUUAGUGUGUUUUUAAAAUAAAUUUAAAAAAACCCUUAUUUCGGCCCUUUACUCGUAUUUUUUCCAAUUUUUAUUACUUGCAAUAAAAAUAUAUUAUUUUCGUAUUUUAUUUUUUACAUUAUUUUAGUACAUCAUGUUUGAAAUGUAUUAAUUUUUUCUUUUUUUAAAUUUAGUAAAAAACUCUUACUUCAGCCCUUUGUUCGUAUUUUUUUUCUCUGCAUUUUAUUACUUUAAAAAAUAUAAUGUUUUCUAAUUUUAUUAUUUUACAUUAUUUUAUUUCAUUAUGUUUGAAAUUUAUUAAUUUAGUGUGUUUUUUAAAUAUACAAUUUUUUGAAUUUUAUUACUUUCAGUGAAUAUACAAUUUCCUUUUUUUUCUUUUCGUAUUUUAUGUUUUCUUAAACAUGUUUUUUUAUAAUUUUUUUAAUGUUAGUUUCCUAAAAAAAUAAUUACAACAUCCUAAAUUAAUUUCAUAAAAAAAAUUUUAAUCAACAUAGAAUGUACAUAACAUGAAUUUUUUCAUGCUAAAUAAAUUUCAUAAAAUAUAUAUACUAAAUAAAAUAAUAAAACACAUACAAUAUACAUAACAUAAAUUUUUUACACAAAUAUUACAAAAAAAAUUAAAUUAAUACAAAAAAAUUACCUUUACUUCUUUUUUUCCUUUCUUUUUCCUUCCUUCCCUUUUCUUCUUCUCCUUUUUUUUUCUCUUUCUUCUCCUUCCUUUUCUUUCUUUCUUUCCUCUCCUUUCCUUCUCCUUUUCUUCUCCACCCACCGGGCUGAAUGGUCCCCCCAUUAUAAGGGAAGUGGUGCCGCCUGUGGUAGUGGCACCAUCGGUGCCGCCUCUGCCAUUGGCACCAAUGGUGCCGCCUAUGGCAGCCCCUUCACCAGGGUGCUAUCACAUCCCUGUAGCUUUUUUUUAAAACUUUUUUUUGUAUUAUUUUGAUAAAUAAAAAAAGUUAAUAUUAUUUUAAUAUUUUUUUAUUUUAUUUUUAAUAUUUUAGUAAAAUACCCCAUGUUGCUUAUCCAACCUACUCUGACGUAUGACGCACCCAUUGCGUCACUGCAAACGCAAUUUUGGUCCUUCUACAUGCUAUAAUAAAGGGGGCAAUGGUUCUGGUUUAGACAAGAAAACUGAAUGCGUUGAUGAAGCUUCUAAUUCUUGCUCCAUGUUGUUUGUUCUUCAUAGCUUUAAUAAAAUUACUUUAUGAUUACCUAUGGAUACCUCUCCGUAUUCAGCAUAUGCUGAAUUCACAGGGGAUCAAAGGACCUCCUUACAGAUUCAUCCAUGGCAACAACAAGGAAGUUACCAAAAUGAAACAAAAAGCUUUAAGUAAAUCUGUGGGCUUGACGGAUGAUUUAUUUCCCAAAGUACAGCCACAUGUUUACACCUGGACCAACAGAUAUGGUAAGAUCCAUGCUUGUUUUUUUCACUAUGAUUUAUAACUUGUAGUUCUAAGAAAAGGUAGACCCUUUUUCUUUUCACGUUAUUAGGGAAGAAUUUUGUUUAUUGGAACGGUGCUCGAGCUGAAUUGGUGAUUUCAGAGCCUGAAUUAAUCAAAGAGGUUCUGAAAAAUAGUGAACAAAUUUUUCAGAAAAAGGAACUUUCAGAUAUUGGUAGAAAGUUCUUGGGGAAUGGUCUUAUAUUCAUUGAGGGGGAAAAAUGGGCAAAGCAUCGAAAGCUGGCCAAUCACACUUUCCAUGGGGAAAGUCUAAAGGUAAGGCUUCCAAAUAUAUAAACCAGGUGUAAUUAAUUUACAAGAAUUAUACAUAGACUACAAUAUUUUGGUAAAAUUUUGUAUUGUUAGCUAAAGAUAAGUUUAUUAUGGACGUUGAAAAAGUGUAGUAAAAACAUACUUUCGAAAAUUUUAACACCAUUUACUACUUAGGAGGUCAAUUUUAAACUUGAUGCUGCAAAAUAAAAGAUUGAAUCAGAGAUUUAAAAAAAGUAAUUUCAUUAAAAAGCACUCUUUUAGCUUUUAGACUUGGAUUAAAAUCUAGUUUGAAAUAAGAUUUAAUUUGAAAAGGUGUUUAUUUGUCAAAUUUUUUAAUUUGAAAUCAUGAUUUUGUGUUGAAAAGUGUUUUCCAGACUCCAAUUAUAUAUGUCACUACUACUUACAUAUUGGAGGAUUGUUUGGGCAGAACAUGACUCCAGCAAUAAUUGCUAGUGUUGAAACAAUGCUAGAAAAGUGGAAAGGCCAAGAAGGCAAAGAGAUUGAAGUGUACCAAGAAUUUAGGUUAUUAACUUCAGAAGUGAUUUCCAGAACAGCAUUUGGUAGCAAUUACAUGGAAGGGGAGAAGAUAUUUGCCAUCUUGAGAAAGUUGACAGUAAUUAUGAGUCGAAAUCUUUCCAAGACUAGAAUUCCUUUGAUCAGGUAUCUUCCCUCUAAGCUUAAUUAAUCCCAACUUUUUCCUUGAUUUCAUGUAGCUUUUGAAUGCAACUUUUAGACUUUCAUUCCCCAUGGAUUUGGUUUUCUCAUAUAUAGCUGACCCUGGUUUGCUUUUGCAGCAAGUUGUGGAAAUCUGCUGAUUUGCUAGAGUCUGAAAAACUUUCAAAAGAAAUAAAAGAUCGUGUGAUGAAGAUUGUUAAGAAAAGAGAAGACAAAGUUGUGAAUGGAGAAGUCAAUAGCUUCCGCAGUGAUUUUCUUGGAUUACUUCUAAAUGCCUAUCAUGAUUCGGAUGCGAAAAACAGGCUUUCAUUGGAAGACGUGGUAGCUGAAUGCAAAACAUUCUAUUUUGCUGGACAAGAAACUGUUAAUUCCUUACUUGCAUGGAUAGUCUUGCAUUUGGCAAUCCAUGGAGAUUGGCAAGAAAAAGCGAGAAGAGAGGUGGUUGACAUAUUUGGUAACCAAAAUCCACAUCUCGAAGGCAUCGCCAAACUCAAAAUAGUAAGAAAACUAUCUAACUGGGAAUUCAAAUAGCCAUCGACAUGAUGUAAUCUGACAUAUUUUUCUAUUUUCCAAACAGAUGACUAUGAUCAUCAAUGAAACUCUAAGAUUGUAUGGUCCAACAAGUGUCCUCCAAAGAACAGGUACAAGAGAAAUUCAGUUGGGAAAGCUACUCUUGCCCGCUAAUAUAGAUAUUCUGCCUUUAAAUAUUGGACUUCACCGGGACCCUCACUUUUGGGGAAAUGAUGUGCAUCAUUUUAAACCUGAGAGAUUCGCUGAAGGGAUUGCCAAAGCUACCAAUUACACCGCGGCUGCCUUUUUCCCCUUCGGAUUAGGACCUCGAUCUUGUGUUGGUAUGACAUUUGCAAUGAUAGAAACCAAGAUUGCUCUCUCCAUGGUUCUACAACGCUACACCAUUACCCUUUCCCCUGCCUAUGUCCACUCUCCAAUACUUAUUCUUACCCUUCAACCCCAAAAUGGAAUUCAAGUAAUACUUGAGCCGAUACAUAGUAAUGCAUGAAGUACAUAGCCGUUAAGAACUAGAGGUUUAACAUGGUUCGUGAAUUCUACUUUUAAG